This 45196-nucleotide long non-coding RNA is filed under the name Durio zibethinus. Its description in RNAcentral is "long non-coding RNA (DZIB_LNC001606)". Lineage: Eukaryota; Viridiplantae; Streptophyta; Magnoliopsida; Malvales; Malvaceae. The record is from RNAcentral.
GAGCGAAUGGCAUUCAAGAGCACAAAAAACCGCAGCCACUUGCAUAUUGUUAGGGAAGUUGAGGCAAUUGGAGGUAACACAUCGACCUCAGCCUCUAGGGAGUGCAUGGCAUACACCUUUGAUGCCCUUAAGACCUAUGUUCCUGAAAUGGUAGAAUUGCUUAUUGACUGUGUUAGGAACCCUACUUUUUUGGAUUGGGAAGUUAAUGAAGAGGUAAUUUUUUUGAUCUUUGCCAAUUUUCUGAUUAAAUUGACAGUUGUGUUUUCCAAAAUUCUUAGUACAAGCAAUCACUCAGUUCUAAGAAGCUACUCAGGUUCUAGUUUGUCCAGUCAUGGAACGAGAUAUGUUUGACACUUUCUACCCUUUUCAAGUGAUAACUGUAUCUGCAAAUCUACUUAAUCUGUUUGCACCCUUUAUUUGAUAAUUCAGCUUGGAGUGUUUUGUCUUGAAAUGGUGUUGCAUGUUGGCAAAGAUACAUUCAGAAGAUCUUGACAUGGGACAACAACUAUUUACAUUUUAUUGAAUGGUAUAAUAACAGAUAUUGUUUAAGAAUACUCUUUUUUUUUUUUUUUGUAGAAUGAGAAUGAAUCAUGCACAUGCUAAGUAACGUUAGUUAUAUAUGUAGCCAAGGCAAUAGCUUGUGCUAAAUAGUCAUUGCUUACUUUCAAGAAGGGUGUCUCAUUUUCUAAGCUCCAAUCUCUAUUCAACUCUGAAAUUAAAAAAAUAAAUAAAGUUAUGUUACAUCUAAACUUAACCAACGAAUCUCCACUGCACUUUCAUAAUUGUGUAAACUGAUAAAGCUGCAACCUACCAGGACAGUCUGAGAGGAAACAAGUCUUGUGUUGUGCCUUGGAGCAGCCCACAUGCCACUUUGUUGUAGAAGAAGCAUCCUAUAAAUCUCAGCUUAUGUUUGUUUAAAGCAUUGGUAUUAGAAGUACCGUUGCUUAAUUUUCCAUAUCAUUAUACUUCCUAUUAAUUACCUCUACCAUUCUCUGUAUGAGCAAGUAAACUUACAUGCUCGUAUAUCUAGAUUUUUGGUUGAGUGUGUAUACCUAUAUAUGGGACAGUCGUCUGAGAAUGGGGACUCAAUGCUUUGGCCAUUGAUAAUAAGCACAGAACCAGGAUUUUGUUCCUUUUCUCUUUGUUGGGUUCUGCGACCAUAUUUUGAGUUUUCUAUAUACCACAUUCUUGUACAGUUGCAAAAGGUGAAAGCUGAGUUAGAGGAAGUUUCGAAAAAUCCUGAGCGCAUAAUCUUGGAGGCUGUUCAUUCCACUGGUUAUUCUGGUGCACUGGCAAAUCCUCUCUUGGUUCCUGAAUCAGCACUAGACAGAUUGGACGGUAGCAUUUUGGAAGAGUUCAUUACUGUGAGAAUCUUUUCUAUGCUGCUUGUAUCCCUGCAUGUAGUUUUACAUUUGUAGCACAAUUUUUUUAGUACUUUGAACAUGAGACUUUUUAUUUGAUUGAUGCAUGUUUCCAUUUUUCUUUUUCUGUGUUUAUUUUGCGGAAUGGUGGUUUAUUUGAUGGUUUCAGGAGAAUUAUACAGGGAAUAGAAUGGUCCUGGCUGCAUCUGGCGUUGAGCACGAAGAGCUUUUACAGAUUGCUGAGCCACUUCUUUCUGACCUCCCAGCAGGACCUUACCCUGAGGAACCAAAAUCUGUUUAUGUUGGUGGUGAUUUUCGUCGACAAGCUGAUUCACCAGUGUGUUUUACCAUUCAUCUGAUAUAAAUAAAGUUGUCUUUACAUAACUUCCUUUCCCCAUUCGCCCCCCCCCCCCCCCCCCCCCCCACCCUCAAACCCCCCAAAUAAUUAAAAAAAAAGAAAGAACAAAAAAACUCUCUUUAGAACUUCCAAGAUUUCUUCUUGUCAUAGAUUGAAAGUUUUGGUUCUGAAUUGCAGAGUACCCAUUUUGCUCUUGCCUUUGAAGUACCAGGUGGCUGGAAUAAUGAGAAAGACUCUGUCACUCUGACUGUAAUGCAGGUGCUGCUUUUUGAACUUUGCAUCAUGAAUUGUUUAAUUCAGUUAGAAUUGUGUAUUCCCUUUUUCCUUUAUUUAAGAUUUACACAGAAACUUUUGGAUCACACAUCAUGUGUUGAAAAAUCUUCAACUUUAUUUUUUAGUUUCUGUUGUGAUUUUAUAUGAUUCCUGCUUGAAUGUUACUAAUGAUUCUGUUUGACCUACAGAUGCUUAUGGGGGGAGGUAGCUCAUUUUCAGCUGGGGGUCCAGGGAAAGGAAUGCACUCUCGGCUAUGUAAGUUUUGCUUUUAUCUGGCAUAUAGUUCUCCUUGCUUGACAAUUUGCAUUUGAUUUUAGCUGAUGUCAUUUGUCAGACAAUUUUUCUUGCAACAGUCUUGCAUUCUUCCUGUUAAUUGUGAAAUAUUACUAGUUUUUGCUUGUAUUACAUGCUGAAUUUCUUUCAUGCUUAGGUAAAUAUGUGCUUACUUUUCCUUUUCUUUGUUAUGUUUGGAAGCAGAUCUCUGUGUAUUGAAUGAGUAUCAGCAGAUUCAUUCUUUUUCCGCAUUCAACAGCAUUUUCAAUAAUACUGGAUUGUUUGGCAUCUAUGGUAGCACGGUAAGGCUAUCAUUAUGUACUCUUCUUCAUUGUCUGUUCGUGCAAAACUUGGUAGCAUUGUGUAAGCAUGUAUAUGCAGUUGUUCGUGCAUAUAGAUGCGUGCAUGUUGUCUUUAUUUAUAGAACUUUAUAAGUGUUAUCUCUUAAUAUCUUUCAGUAAUGGAUAUUUAUCUUUCAUAAUCUAAUUUAAUGAAGUGGCAUUUCUUUAGUUGGGUCUGUCAAUAAUCAUUAUCUUGCAUGCUACACUUUGUAAUUACAAAGAGUUGACUGCACUCAAUUUUUGUGCCAGAGCUCUGAUUUUGUGUCAAAAGCAGUUGACAUAGCAGCAGAAGAAUUAAUUUUAUUGGCAAGAGAAGGAGCAGGUUUGCUUGCAUUUCUCUUAUUUUGCCCUUUCCUUGGGUCACUUCUUUUCAUGGAAAACUCUUUAAUUUUUGCUGCCCUGUUUUUUUUUUUUUUUUUUUUAACUCCUUUUAAAAGUUUUUGAACCCAUCUUGGUGGCAGUUUCUCAUAUAAUGAUAAAGCGUGCACAACAGGCCACAAAAUCUGCCGUACUAAUGAAUCUAGAAUCUAGAGUAUGCUUUCCUUCUCUCUCUCCCCCAUCCCAAAAUGCAGAGUUGUGCAUUAUUCUAGCAAUCUCAUAUGUUAAUUUUUUUUAUUAAAAUCAUUUCAUUAUUGCUUUAGUUUUCUUUGUUCUGUUAAAAGACUUCUAAUAUUAAAUCAGUUGUAUUUUUCAGACGAUUGUGGCAGAAGAUAUCGGAAGGCAGAUUUUGACAUAUGGAGAAAGGUGUGUUAAUACUUCAAACUCCUUUAUCUGUACCUAUCCCUAUGUAUUCGUGCAUGAUUUCCUACACCAAAUCUAAAGAUAUGUUUUGACCUGCAUAUGACAUUCAUGUGAGAAAACAGUUACAGAAAACAUAGAAUUAUGGGGUUGUGAUAUUUAAUUCCAGUUACAAGUCUAAUUUUCAUCAUGUUUAGAGAUUUUAUCAGAAAAAAAGUUGGCACUAAAAUCUUAUAUAGUUUGUUUCUUAGAGUGUUUUACCCCCAAUAAUUCUUUAGCACAAUUGUAUUAUUGAUUGCCCAAGCUCCAACCAGAAACCUUUCUGAAAAUUUUUCCCCCUGAAAACAUGUACCCUUCUACAGAGGUUAUCCACCUGAGGUUGAAGGGUCUUUUACCUUUCUAAAAUUGGGUACUAUAACAAUGCUUUUAUGAAUAUCAAAAAGUUUUUGAAUAAGUAAUUAACUUAAACACUUAUUGUUUGAGAAUGGCUGUAUGAGCGAAAUUACCUUAUUGUGAGUUUUAUGGUUAGUAAAAAAUUUCUGCUGUUUUAUAAAAUGUGAAAUUCAUAUUGCCAACAACUAUGUGGUCUGAUAGUAGAAUACCGGACUCUUAGUUUCAGUAACCAGGGUUUAAAUCCUAACAGCCUCAAAUAUUAAAAAAAAAUGAAAUUCAUAUUAAUUGUCACUCUGUAAAAUAAGUUAUCUUUAUGUUCCAGUCUCCAAUUUGUUUCAACAUCCUUUUUUUGCAUAUGCAACCAAAAAAUCCAGCGAUGCUAAUCAUCCUUGAUAUGGUUACUUUGGUGAAAAUGUCUUACAUGGUUACCUUGCUAACCAGUUUAUGUCUAGUCUAGACUGGCCACAAAAGCUUGUUUCCUGUUCUUCUCUCCUUCAGUGAGGUUGCACUGUGUUUUUCAACCAUUUUAAUCAUUAAAAGAGAGCUCCCUUAAUGGAAUAUACUUUAGUCAUUUUUUUAAGUACAUAGGAGGCCGUAGUCUAAGGAUAGGAGUUACAAGUGUUGGGAGUUGAACUCUAGACUUGCAAGAUGUCGCUUUUUAAUAGUGAUUGCAUGAAUCAACUGAACUAAACUCUAGAGUUAAUAGGAUUAAUCACUUGAUACUAUGCUUAUCUGCUUGUGUUUAAAGGGAAUUAUAUUUACGGUGACAAAGUGUCAAAAGGAAUUGAUUUAAUGUAUAGGGGUGUUGUUUUCUUGUGGCACACUAGUUUCUUACUGUAAUUUGCCUCACGAAAGGAGUAUCCAAUUUGUUUUGUUUUAACAUAUUUUAUCUUAUAUUUCUUCUCAGGAAAUCCAUACAGUCGUUUUUAAAGAUGGUAGAUGAAGUAACUCCGCACGAUAUUACUGAUCUGGCUGGGAAGAUUAUAUCGUCGCCUCUAACUAUGGCAUCUUAUGGUGAUGGUAAAUAUCUGAUUUCCUGGGAACUAUUUGAUCCAAGUCUUGUGAUCAGAUUAUGAAAUUCUUUACCCUUCUUGCUUGGCAGUUGUUAAUGUCCCCAACUAUGAAUCUGUUAGCAGCAAGUUUCGUGCAAAAGGAGUGUACCCAUGAAUUCUGAACCAGUGAUAGAGUUUACAAUGGUGGCAAUCAUGGCAGCCAUCCCCACUGAUAAACUUUUUGCCAGUCACUGAAAUUUCAUUAGCAUCUCAGUUUAAAUUUGAUUAUUGGGUUGCGUUAAGUGCAGCUUCAGUGUGGAUUUUUGAAAUGUUUAAGUUCGAACCCAACAUUGUUAGGCUCAGUCCGUCCAUAAAGACCCAAAUGGACCCAUCAUCUUAUACAAAUAUACAAAAGCCAAAACUAUUUUAAUAUGGAUGAUCUAACAUUUUAACAUAUGAAUGGUCUUUAGUAAUCGUCAUGUGUUUUAGAUUUAUUGUUAUAUAUAUAUAUAUAUAUAUGUAUUUAUAUUUAUUUAUUUAUUUAUUUUAUAUAAAUUUUAAAAUUUUCAACGCAUUAAUUAUUUUUAUUUUUCUUUAAAUUUUUAAUUGACUUAUCUUUAUUUCUAAUAAAAUAUCUUAAAUUAUAGAUAUAGUAUUUAAAAAAAACAUGUUGAAUUUUAAAUGAAUUCAUUAUAAUUGAUUUACAUAGAUUAUGCCUAAUUUAAUUUGCAUUAACAUAAAGCUUCUUUAUUUUCUUUUGUACCAAAAAAUUCCAUUAUAAAUAGGAGAUUUUGAUGUAAUCUAGCAUUAUUUACAAGGUUAUUUUCCAAUUGCAUUAGCUUUAGAUUAGAGUAAACCUAUCGUACUCUUCUGCAAUUACAAUUUGUUGUUUUUCAAUAAUUUAUAUUUCAGUCUAUGAGUGUUUUGGUUAGUUUCAAUUUGACCAUUAUCAUGAAAGAAAAUUUAAGCUAAAAACAAAAUAGUGCUCUAUUGUGUUUUACAAUUUUUACCUUUAAUUUUUUUUUUGUUUUUUUUGUUUUUUUAAAUUCUCAAGUCUCAAACAUGAAAUUUUAAUUUUUCAAACUUAGUUUUUCUCACCAAAUUUGUAAAAAUGAUUUAUUUGUAUUUUUUGCUUAAAAGUGUAAAUAUCACCAUUAAUUUUUGUCAAUUAUAUGUCUUAUUUUUUAAUAAAAAAAUACGAAUUAAUUAUAGGUAAUUUUAAAUUAAGAGUACUUUAUGUUAGACAAUUAUGAUAGUCAAUAGUUCAUAGUGAAAAGUUGCUUUGAAUAUUAUUUUUUAAAAUUAAUGAACGUUUAUUAAUCACCUUGUAUUCUUUCCUUAGGUAUUCAAAACUGUUAUUAAUAAGGUUAUAAUAACAUAUGAGCAUAAUUUAAGAUGAAUAUUAAUAAAAUAGAUUUUGAUUGUAAAUUGGCUGCAGAAUAAGUGACGAAUAACUAAAUUUUUCACAUGUCAAGAAAGUAGGUGUAAUACUUUGCCCAAAUGAUAAUUAGGCUAGACUAUUAUUAAAGUUUAUUAAUUUAAUUAAAAGGGUUCUUUCAUUUUUCUUAAGUUAGAGAAUAUAAAAAAUCAAGUUAAAGAUUCAAAAUCAAAAAAUACAAUUGAGUUAUUCUCUUAAAGAUGAGUAUAUGACAUUUUUUUUAUUUAAAAAAAAUAUUAUACUGGUUGCUAUUAUUUGAAGUUGAAGUUAUGAGAGAAAAAUCAAGAAAAAUUAUUAAAUCUUUUCAUAAAUCUUCAUGAUCUAUUUAGGUAAAUUAUUGGGUUUGUUUGCUUUAUGUUAUUAAAAUUUAAUGCUGAUUUUUAAGUGAAUUUUAAUGGUUGAAAGUAGAAAUUUGGGUCUUUAAAGAUUCAAGAAAAAAUUUUAUUUUUUGAUGAGAUACUAUGCUCUAUAAUAGUGAAUUAAAAUAAAAUUUUGCAUUAAUUGAUAGAUUAUUACUAUAAGUAUUAUUUAUUGUUGAAAAGCUUAUUGAAUCUACUUUCCAACAAAAUAAACGGAAUAGAUUUUGAAUUUUUAUGAAGAGUUGCCUAAUUGUUAUUUAAGGAUAUGCAAAUUGCAUGUCAAUAACAUUAGUCAUGAAUUAUGAAAAUUGUCUUAAAUUUUAUACGAGGAAUUAAGGAUUGAGCUAUAUAUUUUGAAAAGGUUAUUAAGUCUACUUUUCAACGAAAUAAACAAAAUUAAAUUUGGAGUCUUCUAUGAAUAAAUAUAUAAUUUUUAUUAUAAGGUAUACAUGCUGUCUGACAGUAGCAUAUGACGUAAUUUGUAAAAUUUAUUGCAAUUAAUCUAUAAGGAAUUAAGAAAUGAACCAUAUAUAAUUAGAAAACUUAUCAAAUCUAGUUUCUAAUGCAUUACAAAGAUCUUAAUUUUAAGUUGGAUAUAUUGAGAUAUGGCUGUUGUAGUGAAAGGAGCUUAGGCUAUCAAUAUUAGUGAAUUAAGUUAACCCCUGUAUAACUUAAUUGUUUUCAGUAUAAAUGAUCUCAAAAAGGGUUGAUUAAUUUUUAAUAUGUUGAAAUGAUAUUGAAUAAGCUAUUAAUUAUUUUGAAAAAAAAAAUUAAGUGGUGGAAUCGAAAAGAUAUAAGUAGAAUCUCACACAUUUUAUUUAUUUUUUAACCUAUGUAUAUAUGUAUGUUUCUAAAUAAGUAAAUGUUUUAUUUCUUUAUUUUCAAUAUAUGAAAAUAUGAUUAAACAUAUGAUUAUUUUGUAUUUUUGCUAUGUGAAUGAUGAAUUAUGUUUAUAAAUGAAAUGAGCAAAUUAUUUAUAUUUAAAGAAAUAUUUUAUGAUAGCUACGUUUUUACAUCCCUGAAAAAUAGGAUCAUUAAUAUCAGAACUAGUUCUACGGCCCUAGUGUCAUGAUGUAUAUAUCCGUAAAUCUUUGACUUUAUAGAGUCGCCACCAAUAUUUUUUUAUCUAGAUACAAUUAAUUACCUAAUUGAAUCUGUCUUAUUUUAAAAAGAAGUCGUAAGCUUAACUCGAGUAGUUUUAAAAGAUAAAUUAUAAUCUAUGAAACCAAAUAUAGGUCUAGGAGUAUAGUUACGUAUAGAAAAUGUUAUAACACCUCUACAACAUCUAUCCAAAUGAUGGUAUCAGUUUGAUCUCAUAUUAUUCAAAACCUUAAAAAUCUUACCAAAUAAUUAAUUAUUGAGAAUUGUCGUAAAAUUAUUUCAAUAUGUUGGUAAUAAUUUUAAGAUAUUCUUUUAUCUCAGAAGUAUUUAAGGAAAAUUAUUUGUCACAUUUUGAAAAGGCUCCGUUAUUGGGUUCAUUUAAUUUUCUAAAAACCUUUGUUUGUUAUAAAUGGUAUUUUUGUGAGAAUCUUGAUAUUAAAUUUUUUUAAAAAUUCUCCAAUACGUUGGUAAAAUUUAAAAAGAAUUUUUCACCUAGGAAUCUAUAUAAAAAUUGCUAUUUUGUAAUGCUUUUAGUAAUUCUAUCACCGGAGAUUCAAAAUUAAUUUUCAUAAAAAUAUUUUAUUUUCAAAAAUAUCUUCCAAUAUGUUGGUAAAAUUUUUUGUCAAAGACUAUCUUCCAAUGUGUUUGUCGUAACAGUUUUGCUGACUAUUAGAUAAAUUUUAAAACAAAAAAGAGUUGUCACAAAUAUUUUUUAGUUAGGUGUAAUUGACUACCUAUUAAAACUUACAUUUUUAAUAAAAAUUUUAAAAUUAAUUAAAACGUUAUCAAAAAGAUAAUUUUGAUAUAUACGAAAAUAGUUACAUAUAGAAAAAGAUUAGCACUCUCACAACGUCCACUUAAAAUGGUACAAAUUAAUUAUGUGUUUUCUUUUAAUUUUUACAACAAGAUCUUAAUUUUGAUAUUUAAAAAUUAAUUUUCUUAAAUUUUAUUACAAAUAAUAUGUUUAUUUUUUAAUAUAUUUUUCUAUUUUUGAAAAAUAAAUAAGAACAUUGCAUAUUGAAAAUUUUUUGAAAUAUUCUAAUACUUUGGCAAUAUUAAUAUAAACGUUCUCACCUAAGAAAUUCUUAAAAAUCUUUAUUUGGGAUUCUUAAAAAUUCUAUUCUCGAUGAUUCAUAUUUAUCAUCAAAAAUUAUAUUUAAUAAGUAGAUUGUAAAACAUUAUAUCUAUAAUUUAAAAUCUAAUAAUAUUUUCUAAAGUUUAUUUUUUAAAACUAAAACGAGAAUCAUUAUCGAAAAUUAUUUUAAAUGCUUCAAUACAUUGAUGGUAUUUUAGAUAAAUUUUUUUACUUAGAGAUUUUUAAAAAAUCACUACUCGAAUUUUUUUAGGAUCUCAUCCUUGAAGAUUUUAUUUUUCAUUUUCAUUUUUAUUCAUCAUUUUUUAAUAAUUAUUGAUAUUUAAAAGUUAUGCAAUAAUAUAAUCAUUUAUAAGUUUAUUUCUUAAAAAAAUAUGUACUUUUAUAAAUAUUUUAUAUUUUUAUCUUUUAUCCUUUUUUAAGAAAGUUAUUCAAAUUAAAGAAAAUAAAAAUCUUUGUAUUGAAAAGAUUUUUUAAAUAUUUCAAUACUUUUAUAAUUUUUAAAAAUAUUUUUUCAUCUAAAAAAUUAUAAAGAAUCACUAUUUAAAUUUCUUAGAGUCCCAUCAUAAAAAAUUCGUAUCUACUCUUAAUUUUAUUUUUUUCAUCAUUUUUUUAAAAAAAUUUAUUCUACAUUAUUAUGAAUCGUUUGUGAAAAUUUUUUAAAAUGCAACCUCAAUCAAUCGCAAACAAUUUCAUUUAUUUAAUACCAAAAUAUGUAAAAAAAUAAAUAAACACAUGAACAAAUAACACUAAAGCAAGAUUUACUAUAAAUUGGGCUAGGAUCCAAGUUAAAUUGAUUUGGUCCAAAUAGUUACUGCAACUUCGGCCAAGUCAAUGAUAGGUGGAGGCAAAAGGUUAGGCUACUUCCAGGUGAAUGGGCCAGAACUUGGACCCGUUUGGAUCAACAAUCAGAUCGGGUUGGUUGGGUCCCAGGCUGGAUCUUAGUCCUGGGCGAGGUGGCCCGUCUCUAUUUCUUCUUUUUUAAGGCUACAAAAUCUCUCUUUUUAAUUCAUCAUUUUCCUUUGGGCUCUUAAAAAAAGCCUAAUGGCCCUCUCUACAAAAUUCCAGAUCCUGGUGGCCUCGCAGUACACACUGCCGCCGUUGCUGCCCGUUGUCAAUGAACAGCUCCGCCUUUUUGUUUUACGUUCAUUCCUUUUUCCUUUUUUUCUUUUCCCUUUCUUUUUUUUUUUAAGAGAGAGACUAACUUAACUUUUUUUUCUUCCACAGGGUGUGACGCUGCUUUUCCUCUUACAUCUCCUUUCGCAUAAUCUCUUUUCUCUCCCUUUUUUCUUUAAAAAAACUGAAACUGAUUUUUUGUUUCUAGUUUUUGUUUCACAAAAUAUGCUUGGUGCUGCGGUUUCUUUCCCAUAGGGAGGACUGUAAUUUUUUUUUAUUAUUGGUUGUAACAGGUUUGAAGUUGGAUUUUUUUUUUGUUUUUUUUAGGUGUUUUCUUGGUGAUUUUCGAUUGGAGAACGGGUUUAUGGUAGUGGAGGUUUAGUGGGUUUCAGCUAAAUGCUCUGGUAGUGAUGGAGAAGCUAGGAUUUUGGCUAGCCGAUAGGUUCUUGUGGAGGGCUGGUACUAGGAUCGUGAAAUGGGUUUGGGUAUAGAACUGGGUUGAAGACAAAGGUUUUUGGUACCUUGGUUGAAUAUGGGAAGGGUUGUUGCGUACACUAUGGAUGGAGUUGGUGAGUGUGUGGGUGAAGGCUGGGCUUGAUGUGGGUGAAGGUUGAGGCAAGACUGGGUAUACGCCAUGCAGGUAAGGGUGGGGAAUUAAAGGUGCUUGGCAAGGGUGUGGGUCCCGGGUGGAGUUUAAGCUGGUUUCUGGUGUUGUUGGGUUGGACGGCACUGGUGUUGUUAGGUUGGAUUGGAUUGGUGUUGUUGGGUGGUCUGUUCCUGGGGGCUUGGGUUUUGGGGUUGUGAAUGCUAGGUGCUUGGGGCGGUGUUCUGCCAGGGACUGGUUGUUUAGAAGGUUAGGCGAUUUGGCUGGAUGGAGGUGCGAGGCUUGUUCUUCAGGGGUUGUGAGCAGCUGGGUUUGAGAUGUACAAGGGGCAGUGAUGAGAGGCUGGGUUGAGGCUUGGAGGGGCUUGGUGAGGGUGUGAAAGAAGGCAGGGGUUCGAAGAUGGGCGAAUGGAGUUUGUCUAGGCUGUUGAGGGGGCUUGGUGCUUGCAAAAAAAAAAGAAUAUUCGACCUCCCUUUUGCCAAUGGUGCAUGUGAGUUUUAUUUGUGAGUUAAGGUUGCAACAGUCUAGGAUUCAACCGCUCCUCCAAGUUGCACAGUAGUGGCCAACAAGUUAUUGAUUACAAAGUGCAAGGUAGUGGCCAACAGGUUACUGAUUGUAUAGUAGUGCUUAAGAAUUUUGGCCUCAUAUGGUCUGAAUUGCCAGCAGUAUUUUUGCUGUUUUCUUUUUUUUUUUUUUUUUACUUUUUUUUGUUUUUAUAAUUUAAUUUUAAAUUUUUUAUAAUUUUUUUGUUAUUAUUCAAGUUUAAUUAAUUUAAUUAAUUUCAAAUAAAGAAAUAAAAAAAAUAAAAUUAGGGUUUUAAAAAUUAAUCUAGGCUUGAAAUUUAAUUUGGAUUUAAAUAUGAAGUUUGGGCCUUUAAGCUUGAAUAAUCAAAUUUUGAAUUGAUUUAAAUUAGGUUGAAUUUCAUAUUAUGCAAAUUGAUUUGAAAAUGAUUAAUCUAGGACAAAUAGGAAUGAGUUUAAUUUAAUUAAAUCCAAUAAUGUUAACCUAAUUUGAAAUGUUAAAAUCAAAUUAAAAAAAAAAUAAACAAAUUUGAGUUGGUGAUGAUAAAAUUAGGUAUUUAUAGUCUUUUCUUUUUCACAUAUUACUUUGAAUUAAGUAUAGGAUAAAGACAUAGAUGACAAUUUUGUUAGAUGUUAAUGAUUUAAAAUUUUUUUAAAAGUUUUUUUUUUUUGUUUUUGAUUUUUUUGGUUUUUCUUGGAGGUUUUACAAAUCUCAACAUUUUUAAAUGUUUUUCAUAUUAGAAGCAUUGAAAAUUUGAAAAUUUAAAAUGUUUUGUUUAAAUAUUUAUAGAUUAUACUUGAAAGUCUUAAAGAUUAUGUUCAAAAGUUUUAGAAAUUAUAUUCGGGGUUUUACAAAUAUUAAAAAUCUUUGAAUGUUUCUCAUAUUAGAUGCAUUAAAACUUUGAAAAUUUAAAAUAUUUUUGCUUGAAAGUCUUGAAAAUUAUGUUUGGAGAUCUUAAAGAUUAUGUUUGGAAGUUUUAGAGAUUAUGUCUGAAGGUAUUAUAAAUCUCAAUAUUUUUGAAUGCUUCUCGUAUCAGAUGCAUUGAAACUUUGAAAAUUUAGAUGUUUUGCUUGGAGCUCGUAAAGAUUAUGCUUGCAGGUCUUAGAGAUUAUAUUCGGAGAUCUUACAAAUCUCAAUAUCUUUGAAUGUUUUUUUGUAUCAAAAGCAUUAAAACUUUAAAAACUUAAAAAUAUUUUACAUUGAGGUUUUAAAAAUUAUGUCCAAAAGUCUUAGAGAUUUAGGUGCCAACUUGAUUUUGCUUAAUUUGAUUUGAGUGUUGUUAAACUGGGCUUAAGUAUCAUUUGGAUGUCAGAGAAACUAGGUUUAAAAUGUCAACUAAACUGGGUUUAAAUGUCAGCUAAAUUAGACUUAAUUUGCUAGCUAAGCUGGGCUUAAGUGCCGGUUAAUCUAAGCUUAAAAUGAUAGCUAAUCUGGGCUUAAAGAUCUAGGUACUAGCUUGACUGGGCUUUGUUUGAUUUUGUAUCAUAUUUGAUCUUUUUUCAUUCAUUUUUCAACAGCCCUUCCGUUUUUUUGCAAAUUAUUUUUCUUUCAAUUUUUCAAAUCUUUUUGACAUUUUAGUCUAUUGUCAAACACUUUUUUUCUUUUUUUCAUCUUUUUAUAAUAGACUUUUUUUUUUUUAUCUCUUUUUGUCUUUUUUUUUGUUUUUGUUAUUUUUCCUUUCUUUUUUUUCUUCUAAUAUUUACAAAGUUAACAAACGCAUUCAUGAUACAAACAUCUAUUUUUAUCAAAUGAUGUAAAUGCAAAUGUCAAUGCGAAUGUGAAUACAAGAAUACAAAUGCUUGAUGCAAAUAUAGGUGAUUUUUUCAUAAUACAAAUGUCAAUGUUCUUUUCAUGUAAAUGCCCUUACAAAUACUUUUUUUAUGAUGUAAAUGUAAUGAUGCAAAUGCAAAUGCUUUGGUUAUGAUAUAGCUUAAGGUGAUGUAAAUGCAAAUAUUUUUUUUGUUUUUACAAUAUGCAGAUCAAAUGUCUUUCUCAUGAUACAAAUGCAAAUAUUUUUUUCAUAAUGCACAUAAAGUAAUGCAAAUGCGAAUGUCUUUUUUAUGAUGUAGAUGUGAAUGUGGGUGCGAAUGUCUUUCUCAUGAUGCACAUGCAAGUGAUGCAAAUGAGUUUUUUUUUUUUUUUUACAACAUGCAAAUUAAAUGUCUUUUUUAUGAUGCAUAUGUAAGGGAUGCAACUGUGAAUUUUUUUUUUUAAUUUUUUUAAAAAGAUUUUUGUUCAAAUUUUCAAUGUUUACUCUUUACCACAAAUGAUCUCAAUAUUUUGUAUAAAAUGCUCAAAUAAUCUCUGAAUUUUUUUAAAAGUGAUCACAAAAUUAUCCCACAUAAAAUAUCUUCAUAAUCAAUGAGAAAAGUCAAAAACCCAUAACUUUCAAAUCUCUUAAAAAUUGAUGAUUACUAUUUGAAAUAUUUACAGAUGUGGGCAAUUGGCAAUUCAAUUCUUUUCAUUAGUGGGCAUAUAUCAAAGAAAGCUCAACAAGGGUUGCAAGGAUUACUUCUUGGGCUUAUGAAAGAGAUAAUUUUUUUAAAAUAUUUUUUUUAUUAAAAAUAUGAUAUUUCAAUAUGUGUCAAAAUUAACCAUUAUUUUUUUUCAAAAAAUAAUUAGGAAAAGCAAAAGGUUGAUUUUUUCUAUUUUCAUUCUUUAGUGAAAUUUAAAGUCCUUAAUGGGUAUUGAUCCUUAAAAAAGUUUUGCAUCAUGAUUUUUUAUUCUAGAUAGAACUUUAAAACUCUAAAAUUCUUUUAGGGAUUAAGAGUGCCUUUAGCUUUAAAUUGCUUUUUUAAAGUUUUCAAUUUAAAGUUAUAUUUUUUUAUCAAUGAAGAGCUUAAUAAAAUCUUGCCAAAUACUAACAAGUAUAUACAAAAUUUCAAAGACAUAGCUCUUUAAUUCAAGAGUUUUGCAUUUGAUCAAAAUGAACUUUCCAAGGUAUGUAAUAUAAGCCAAGGUUCAAGAUUCUAAAAGAAUAGAUAAAUAGGCUCAAAGUAUAUUAUUCAGGGUAAUUAGGCUAAAAAUCUUACAAAGCAUUCUCUAGAUGAAAAGCCAUGUAUUUUUUUCUUUACUCUUUCUUUUUUGAAAAUAUUUAACUUCAGCUAUAACAUUAUGCUUUCUUCAAUUCUAUCUCCAUUUUUUACUUGAGAUUCUAAUUGAUAUUUCAUUCAUUUUAUGUCAUGGACUCUUAUCUUCAAGGUGUUUGUCUUUCUUUUUUUGCUCUUUCUUGAAAACAUUUGACUUCAAUUUUAGCAAUCUACUUUUUUAUAUUCUUGGGAUUCUAAUUGUAACUUUAUUUACUUUUUGUCUUAGAUUCUCAUCUUCGAAGUGCAUAUCUUUCUUUCUUUGCCUUUUUUUUUUUUUUUACUUUUGCUUUUUCUUUCUUUUUUUCUUUUAUUUAUUUUUUUUCUUUUUUUUUUUGAAACAAUUGAUUUCAUCUUUAGCAAACUACUUUAUUAUAUUCUUGGCAUUCAAACUGAAACUUUAUUCACUUUUUACCUUAGAUUCUCAUUUCCAAGGUGCAUGUUAAACGCCUUUAAUAUCAAAUAUUUUUUUUGAAAUUGGUCUCUUAAAGAUAUUUUUAUUUUACCCUUAAUGUAAAAAGAAGAUCCUUGGUCGGCUUUUAUUUUGGAACAAAAAAUUUAAUAGGUUCAAAUAGGUAGUAAGUGAAUAAUUUUUCUAUACAUGAAAGAUAUAGAAAAAUGGUUAUUCAUCAUUUCAAACAUGAUCACUUGGUUAAAAAAACAAAUUAUUUGAAAAAAUAAAUAAAAAGUUUUUUUUUUAUUUUUGUGUUAUAACCAUCAAUCGUUUUUAUAUGACUGAUGUCUUAUUUUAUUUUUCACUCAAGGUUCUUAUAACAAUGAAAAUCAGGUUAUAUAAGCUGUUUCAAAUUUUAUUGCACAGUUCAUAAAAAAGUUCAUUUUGGUUCUAAACUGUCUGACAUUUUUAGUAAAAUGAGAGGAAAAUGUUAAUGCAUGAGACGAAUUGUCUUAGACGAGAAGAAAUUUUACUUCUUUUAGUAAAUGUGCCUUAAGACGUGAAACGUGUGCUAUUUAAGAGAAGGUUCAGGCAUUUUUCAUGUCUUAUCAAAAGAAUUUAAAUGAUUCAAUCAUAUUGACAAAAUUUAACACAUAUUGAAUUAUCAAUUAAAAAAUUUGAAAUAAUAUCUUAUUUGAUUUUCAAAAAAUGAUUAUUAUCUCAAUGUAUCAAAUGAUGCGAAAUGCUUAUUUAAAAAAAAAAUUGAUGAUUUUGAAAAUUGCUUUUAUGGGACUUUAUUCUCAAACAAUUACGAAUCAAUUUUUUUUUUUUUAUGUUUUAUAAAGCAGUUUUCAUUUAAUGAUUUUGAAAAUUAAUUUUGUGGGACUUUUAUUCAAACAAAUGCAUAUAAAAAAAAUUUCAUAGAAAAAUCCAAAGCAUUCAUUUCUCCAAAAUAAAUUCUAACAAGAAUAAUCUGAAUAACUCCUAAAGAUACAUGUCAUACACAAAAGAUCAAAGGUUCAAAAGAAAAUCAUCCUAUCCUGAUCUUUCAACACUCGAGACCUUCUUUCACAUUUCAACUCAUCACAUUUUGUAAUGGGAUAGAGUCAACUUCUAUUGUUCCAUUAGUUUUGGAGUCAAAAUACCACUUUUGAUAAAAUCCUUAACCUUUUCCUUCAACUAUUUGCAUUUUUUUAGUUGAAUAGCCAAUUGUUCUCAUAUGAUAAUCACAUUUGUCAUUAGGAUCAUAACUUUUUGUUGAUGGAUUUAGUAUUAUUUUCGGAGGCAUAGGAAUAAGGUACCGACCUUCUAUUAGCAAAGGUAAAAAAUGAGAAAUAGGGAUUGAAAGUUUCUUUUGGUCUUUUUUGGUUCUUUAUUGGUCAAGUGGUAGAUUUAAAUGUAGGAACAAGAUCGUAAAUGGUCAUCUAAGGAUAAAGAUUUGCCAAAAGCGCAAAUACUGGCAAAGAUAUAAGCUUUGAGAGAUUCUGCCUAUGAUAGGGAAGUGAGGUUGAUGAAGAGGAUAAAGAUUAAAUGGGAUGAAAUUUUUAGGUAGAUGCCCCUUAAAUGUGACUGCUUGCACCUUCUCUUCAUUCUUUUUUGAUGUAUUUUUUUCAAUAUCUAUUGUAUUUUUCAACUUAAUCCUACCAUUCUUGAUUACAUUUUCUAUCAUUUCUUUAACAAUCACCAUGUCAACAAAAUUUUUAGAGAUAUUUCCAAUCAUUUUUUUGCAACAGGAAGUAUUUAUAAAAAAUUGAUAAACAUAAUAGUGAUUUUGUUAUCUAACAAAGGUAAUUGUACUUGGGCUGUCAUGCCUCUCUAUUUGUAUGUAUAUUCCUUGAAAGUUUCAAUUGACUUUUUUUCUAUGUUCUGUAAGAACAACCUAUUAGGUACCAUAUCUUUAAUAUGCUUAUAUUAUGCUAAGAAAGCCCUAGCUAAAUCAUUUCAGGAAUAGAUCUUAUUCGGUCUAGCUGGGCAUACCACUUUGUUGCAGACCCAAUGAGACUAUCUUAAAAGCAAUAGAUCAAUAACUUAUCAUUGUCAUUUUUCGACAGUAUAUAGUGAUGUGUGCUCAAAGGUAUUUCAUUUCAUCAUACUUUUUCAAAUUUUGGAGUUUUAAAUUUUGAUAAAAUGACAAGAUCAGGCACUAAACUAAGCUCGUUGGCAUUAACACUCCCAUAUAUAUCAUGGCUUUUAAUUACUUUCAGUUUUUUUCCAACAAAUUAUAUUUAUCUUUUAUCACUAUAUCUUCUAAUGAAUCCGAUACCCUUUUUAGUUGCUCACAUACUUUAAGAUCUUCCAUAGUAAUGAGGUCGUAGGCAAUAAGCCUAAGAUUGACAUUUAUCUGAACUUAAGGUAACUUGGUAAAAAUAUCAAUAUAAAGUUGAUGAGUUACUAAAGAUGCUUAUGACUUAUGGGGGUAGUGAACAUAUGAAUUGCAAACCCAUGUGAAUAUGAUAGUUCUUCAAUAGUUGUUUCCUCACUUGCCCUAUGUGUUUUAACAAUUCUUUUUCCUUUUGUCAAAUAUACUAACGUCUAUUUUAAUUCUGCUAAUUGUCUGUCCAUGUUCUAUUGUAUUCCUAUAACUAUUUUCCUAAUCUCCUUGGGCCUUAUCCAUUUUGUCCAUCUGACUUGCAUUUUCAUUUUUCACGAUUUUGGUACAAGCUCAAGCAUUGUAAAUGCAUAAAUUUAACUGAUCUUGUUUCCUAGGAUGCAUUAUCCUUGAACCUUUUAUUAAUUAUCCAAUAGUCAGAAAUGCAUGACAUGAAUUUUGUUAUUAAAACUUUCAAAAGUAUCUCUUUGAAUUGAAGAUUCAACAAAAGUAUAUUUACAAUCAUCAUUCUUUUUCCUUAGCUAGCAUGAAAAACAAUUAAUUCAAACAAAUUAUGCAUAAUAUGUAAGUCAAAUUUUAUUAUUAUUGAGAAUGAGAUCAAAUUUUCUCUUAUAUUCAAGUUGGGUUAUUUAAGGACAUUCUUUUGUUUCAAAAGUUUGGUGAAAGAAUAUUUACAACCAUACUUUUUUUUCAUGGGCUUUUUUUGGUGUACCAUUAUUUCAAAAAAAUUAAAUGUAAACAAAGACAUCCAUUUAUAGAAAAUUCAAUCAAAAGAGGUUUUCAUUCAUUCCCAAAAGUUUCAAAUCCAUCUAUCAUGAACCAUCUUAGGACUAAGGCCAUAAAGUGUUAGACUUGUUUUUACUUCCCUUUGCCUUACCUAAAAAAUCCAAAAGAAAUUGAUUAUGAUUAUUGGUAGGAAUGGUCAUUUGCUUUAAGGCUUCUACUUUUUAUUCAUUAUCUUGGCCAAUUUUACUAUUGCCUAUAACACUGCUUGUUAUCUCGGUAUGGAUUGAUCAAGGAUUUUUGUAAACAAUUAGCUUCAUUUCAACAUCAAAACCUAAAUAUCUGACUUUCAUCAAUCUCUAUACCCUAUAUUUGAAAAAUAUACAAUCUUCCAAAAAAUGACUUACAAUGUCAAAAUGGUAUUCAUAUUAGGCAUUAGGGUUGUAUUGUUUAGGAUAAAGUGGUUUGAGGGGUUUAAUAAGGAUAAAGGCAAUGAGGUAGUUUUCUCGGAGCAAUGGGUAUAAAUCUGUGUAGAACAUAGGUAUUGGGUCAAUAGGGGUUUUUCUUUUGGUGUUAUGAGAGUUUUUAUGUUCUAUGGUUAGUUUGCUUUGUCGAAAAAGAAAGGUAGUAUAGUUGGUCUUGGAGUGAAUUGAAAAACUCUUGGUUAAAAAUUAGAUUGAAAAGGUGUGAUAGGAUAACAUAUGCUGAACAAGUGAUUAUAAAAUGUGAGGUGGUGGAUAUGAAUUUAGGUGUGAAAUUCUCGAAUGUUGCAUAAAGUUUAAAGGCUAAUCUUGGGUGCUUGAAAGGGAAGUUGAAAGCAAUCAUGACAAGGAUCUAAGUGAGGGUUUGGACUUAGGAUAGUUGGUAAGGGUUGUUUGAAGCUAGGUAACUCUAUCUUGAAAAUCAAACUUUUGAGUUCAGUUAUUUGUGUAACAAAUUCACCCAUUCCUUUCUUGAGCUCACCUAAACUUUGGUCAUUAUUCAGAUUAUCCAAUGCCUUAGUAUGCUCGAAAAAAGUGCUGGAACCAACAUGAGCCAGUUGAUAUUGAUUUAAUGGAAUCGAAAGUGAUAACGAUCUUUAAGGAACAACAAAUUUAACCACAACACCAUUUCUAUCAAUUGAGUAAUCUAUUGUUUCAUCUUUUGAAACUCGAGUCAAAAUUCUCUUGAUUCAACUCCAAUGCCCUAAUUCUUGUUUCCAAUUGAUCUUUCAUUUUUACCAUUAUAAUUCCCACCUAGAUAGAUAUUUUAUUAUGGGCCUUAGACAAAAAAUUCUAUAUUAUUACCCUUAUUGAAUGAAUGCCACAAAAAUAUUUUUUAACUUACAUAACACACAAAGCAUGUUUAUGAAUAUGAUGAUAAUGCCAAAAGAAUGUCAUGAAACAUCAAACUACCUAAAAUAAUGAAUUUUUAUAUGUACAGGCCCCAAAUACUAAAAAAUUUCUCAUCUAUAAAUGUGUAUGCAAGAAAUGUAAUGUUAUAUUAUAGGGAUGGUGGGUUAUGAAAUGCAAUAUAUGUUAUAUAAAACCCUACUAUUCAUGAAUCCAUAUGCAUGAAAUGUAAUGACAUACUUACAUAAGUGAUAAGAUAUAUUCCUACAACUAACACCACCUACUUGUAUGAAAAUGCACUAACCUAUCAUUUGCAUGAAAUAUGUCUUCAUGAAAUGCAAUGUAUAUGUUGUGUUGGCUUAAUGAGGUUGACAUUGCCUUAAGAUAUGUAAUGAAAUGGAGUACAUGCACCAUCUAUUAAGAUGCACAUGGGAUACAUAUAUCAUUUAUCAACACAUGCAUGAAAUUGAUUGCAUGUACUAUCUAUUGAUGUGAAUGAGACAAAAUACAUGUAUUAUCUUAUUAUUUUUAUUUUUUUAAAUAAUAAAAAUGUAUACAAAAAGAUCAACUAAAAAUGCAGAACAUGAACAACAUUCAAACUUACAAAUUCUAUUUUUUUUUCUUUUUUUUUUAGAAAAAAAAUUCACGAACACACAUUUUUUUAUCACAUAGAAUAACUAGAAUUAGAAGAUUUUUCUCUUUUUUCAUUAUUUUUUUAUUAACUAAUAAACAAAGAAUUUAAGAAAAACCCUUAUUUUUGAAAAAAAUUGUUUGUUUGUUUUUUUAAUGUUUGUUAGAUAAUGUUAAUUUUUUUUUCAUUUUAUUCUAAAAUAUUUUACAAAAAUGCAAAUAUUAGAUUACCACCAAAUGAAUGAACUACAUGCCAAAAGAAAAUUUUCUUUUCCCUUUUUUCAAGAAAAUGCUUUCUUUUAUUAUCUAUUUCUUUUAUUUUUUAAUUUUAAUGCAAAUUUGGGUUAUUUCUAUAAAAAGAGCGACAUGGCUUUAUACAAAAUUGGUCCCCUAAGGUUCACUAUAUGUUGAGAGAGGAUUUGAUUGUUUAAAGGUUCCCAAAUUGUUCUUCACUAGCAUCCACACAAUAUUACUAAUAAACCUCAAUUUUUACCUAUUAUAAGCUAUGAACAGAAAGGAUUCAAUUUAAGUGGGAACAUUUCACUUGUCAUUUCUAAGGUUAUCACCUCACGAGAGUAUAGGUACUCUACUUUUUCUUAAAAGGGACAGAGCUUGAAUAUAGAGUUCAUGCGUGAUAUAAAAUGUGCCAUCGUGUGCGUGAGAGAAAAUGAUAUCACAAUUUCUAUCCUACAUGCCCCAUAAUUUAUUAAGAAUAAUAUAUAUAAUAAUGGACAAAUGACAUAAUUUAAAUGAAAUGCUUGAAAUUUUUUAUUACUAUUGUUAUUUUAAAAAAUAAUAUCAAAAUAAAAAAAUUAAGGUUAAAUACCAAUUAAGACCAUUAAAUCAAAAUUAAUGAUAACACAUAAUUAAUUUUAUGGCCUGACUCUCUAAAAAAAAUGACUUCCCUAAUAGAGUUACCAAGCAGUCAUAACGGUUUUAAGGAUCACUAGAUGAAUUUAAAAAUAAAAAGGAGUCGUCACAAAUCUUUUUUGGUUACGUGCAACUGGCCACUUAUUAAAACUUAUCUGUUUAAUAAAAAUUUUAAAAUUAAUUAAAACUUUAUCAAAAAGUUAAUUUUUAGAUUUAUGAAAACAGUUUGAGUUCAUGAGUCAGUUACAUGUAGGGAAUGAUUACUACCCAUACACCGCUUGUUUAAAACGGUACUAAUUAAUUAUGUGUUAUCUUUUAAUUUUGACAACAAGAUCUUAAUUUUGGUAUUUAAAAAUUAGUUUUCUUAAAUUUUAUUACAAACAAUAUAUUUACUUUUUAGUAUUUUUUUUAUUUUUAAAAAAUAAAUACAAACCUUGCAUAAUGAAAAGUUUUCGAAAAUAUUUUAAUACUUUGGCAAUAUUAAUGAAAACUUUAUCACCUAAAGAAUUCUUAAGAAUCUUUACUUAAAAUUUUCAAACAUUCUAUUCUCAGUAGUUCACAUUUAUUAUCAAAACUUAUAUUUAAUAAGUAGAUUGUAGAACAUGAUAUUUAUAAUUUAAAAUCAAAUAAUAUUUUCUAAAAUUUAUUUUUUAAAACUAAAACAAGAAAUUGUUAUCGAAAAUUAUUCUAAAUUCUCUAAUAUAUUGGUGAUAUUUUAAAUAAAUUUUUUUAUCUAGAGAUUUUUAAAAAUCACUAUUCGAACUUCUUUAGAAUCUAAUCAUUGAAGAUUUUAUUUUUCAUUUUCAUUUUUCUUCAUCAUUUUUAAUAAUUAUUAAUAUUUAAAAGUUAUGCAAUGAUAUAAUCAUUAAUGAGAUUAUUUCCUAAAAAAUGCAUACUUUUAGAAAUAUUUUAUAUAUUUAUCUCUUAUCCUUUUUAAGAAAAUUAUUUAAAUUAAAGAAAAUAAAAAUCUUUGUAUUUAAAAAAGUUUCUAAAUAUUCUAAUACUUUGGUAAUUUUUUUAAAAAAAAUUUUCACAUAAAAAAUUCUCUAAAAUCACAACUUAAAUUUUUCGAAAUCCCAUCAUCAGAAAUUCAUAUCUACUCUCUAUUUCAUUUUUGUUCCAUCAUUUUCUAAAAAAAAUUAUUCUACAUUAUCAUGAAUCAUUUGUGAAAAACUUUUGUUUUUUUAAAUGCAACAUCAAUUAUUCGCAAACAAUUUCAUUUGUUUAAUACCAAAAUACAUAAAAAUAAAUAAAUAAACAUAUGAACAAAUAACACUAAAGCAAGAUUUACCAUAAGUUGGGCUAAGAUCCAAGUCAAAAUGAUGGGUUGAGGCAGAAACGGACCAGGUUGGGCUACUUAGAGGUAAGUGGGUUAGAACUUGGACCGGUUUGGAUCAAUAGUCGGAUCGGGUCGAUCAGGUCACGAGCCAGAUCUUGGUCCUGGACGAGUUGACUCGUCUUCAUUUCCUUUUUUUUUUUUUUCAAAGCUAUAAAAUCUUUUUUUUUAAUUCAUCAUUUUGCUUUUGGCUCUUAAAAAAAAGCCUAAUGGCCUUCUUUACAAAAUUUCAGAUCCUAGUGGCCUCGCCACACACACUACCACCAUUGCUGCCUGUUGUUGACUUAUAACUUCGUUUCUUCUUUUCUUUUUUUUUAACAUUCUUUCCCUUCUCCUUCUUUUCUUUCCCUUUUCUCUCUUUUUUUUUAAUAAAAAAGGGAGACUAACUUAUCUUUUUUUUUUCUUCCACAGGUUGUGGCAUUGCUUUUCCUCCAUCGCUGUUUCUAUCUCAGACGGUGGUGCCGUGGAUGGGUGUUUUUUUCUCCCACUUUUCUUUUUCGCAUAAUCUCUUUUCUCUUUUUUUUUUUUAUUUUUAACUGAAACUGAUUUUUUGCUUGUUGUUUUUGUUUCACAGAAUACGCUUGGCAUUGUGGCUCCUCCCUAAUGGGGAGAAUUGUAAAUUUUUUUUUAUUAUUAUUGGUUGUAACAGGUGUAAGGUUGGAUCUUUUUUUACGGUGGAUUUUGCUUUUUUUUUUGGAUAGUUUCUUGGUGAUUUUGGUUGAAGAAUGGGUUUAUGGAAAUGGAGGUUUGAUGGGUUUCGAUUGAAUCCUCUAGUAAUGAUGGAGGAGCUAAAAUUUUGGCUGGCUAAUGGGUUUUCGUAGAGGGCUGGUACUAGGAUCGUUAAAUGGGUUCAGGCAUAAAACUAGGUUGAAGGCAAGGGUUUAUAGUGCCAUAGUUGAAUAUGGGAAGGAUUGUUGUAUGCAUUUUAGAUGGAGCUAGUGAGAGUAUAGGUGAAAGCUAAGGCAGGGCUAGGUAUGCACCGUACGGGCAAGGGUAGGGAAUUAUAGGUGCUUGGCAAGGGUUGUGGAUGCCAGGUGGAGCUUAAGCUGGUUUCUAGUGUUAUUGGGUUGGACGUGACUAGUGCUGUUGGGUGGUGCCAAUUUCUAAGGGCUUGGGUUUUAUGGUAAUAAAUGCUUGGUGCUUGCAGCGGUGCUCUACUAGGGACUAGUUGUUUAGAGGGUUAGGAGAUUUGGCUGGAUAAUGGAGGUGUAGGGCUUAUUCUCCAUGGGUUGUGAGUGGUUGGGUUUUAGAUGUGCAAGUGGCAGUGAUGAAAGGCUGGGUUAAGGCCUGGAAGGGCUUGGUGUGGGUGAAAAAGAAUGCAGGGGUUCGAAGAUGGGCGAAUGGGGUUUGGCUUAGGCUGGUGAGAGGGCUUGGUGCUUGUAAGAAAAAAAUGGAUGUUCAACCUCCUUUCGCGAAUAGUGCAUGUGAGUUUUAUCUGUGAGUUAAGGUUGCAACAGUCCAGGAUUCAACAGCUCCUCCAAGCUACAAGGUAGUGGCCAACAAGUUAUUGAUUGCAAGGUGUAGGGUAGUAACCAAUAGGUUAUUGAUUGCAAGGUAGUGCUUGAGAAUUUUGGCUUCACAUGGCCUAAAUUGCCAGCGUAAUUUUUGUUGUUUUUUUUAAUCUUUUUUAAUUUUUAUAAUUUAAUUUUAAUUAAUUAUUUCUUUAUAAUUUUGUUUGUUAGUAUUCAAUUUCAAUUAAUUAAUUAAUUUCAAAUAAAGAAAUAAAAAAUAAAAUUAGGGUUUUAAAAAUUAAUUUGAGCUUGAAAUUUAAUUCAGACUUAAAAUUGAAGCUUUAGCCUUUAAGCUCAAAUAAUCAAAUUUUGAAUCAAUCCAAAGUAAGUUGAAUUCUAAAUUAUGCAAAUUGAUUUGAAAAUGAUUAAUAUGGGACAAAUCUGAAUGAGUUUAAUACAAUUAAAUUCAAUAAUGUUAACUCAAUUUGAAAUGUUAAAAUUAAAUGUUAAAAAAAAGAACAAAUUCAAGUUGGUUCGGACAAAGAAAUUGGGCUAAAGCUAACUUGAAGUCCCAAAGAAAAUUAACUUUGAAGGCCUGGUUUAAAUUAAACCUUGACAUGAGCUUAAAAUGAUAGGCUAAGUGAAUUGGGAUUGGGAUUUUGCAAUUUGGAGCAUAGGCUGUUGUAGACUAGGCCAAAUUAGGUUGAUAGUGGGUUUCAAAUUGAGUUAAAUGACCUAACUAAUUUCCUUCCCAAAAUGUCGUAGUUUUAAACCUCUAUAAAUCUUCACUUUUUUUGUUUUCUUCAUGUUUUCCUUCAUUCUUUUCUUUCUUCAAACCAAUUUCUCUAUCUCUAUCUCUAUCUCUAUGGAAGAAUGAAAGCUAGCUGGCCAUUCAAGCUAACCCAAAAAUCGAUGAACAUUAGUCAUUGCUACCGUCGUAAGUCACCAUAAGCCAUUGUGCUCCGCUAUCGAUUGAUCAUCGAUUUAGCCCAAAAUUCACCAAAAACUCAUCUCGACCUUCUCAUCUCGGCCCUGGGGUCAGUUCUAAUGAUGUAGAUCUAAAAAAGAAGUUGCGAUUUUUUCAUUGUUCAAUCACCAUUUUUCCCUAUCCCAUUUUACUGAUCUUUGAGUAUGGUGUUCCACUUCCUUCGUUCUAUACUUUUACCAUUUUUGAUCUCUCAAAAGUCUUCUCUACUGUGGGUUGUCACCAAUGCUGCCACUACAAAGAUAAAAAUUUAUGAAAACUCUUAUAACUUCGUAUUUACUUAUAUUUGAUUGUUGUGUUUUUGGAUUUGAUGAUAUUUUUGCUUGCCUUAUUUUUAUGGCUUAUUGAUAAUGUAUUUUGAUGGAGCUUAUUCUUUUUGUGGCUAGUGAGGUUGUCGAUGAUGAAAGGGCUAUUUUGGCUUUUACUUUAGUGGUUUGCUCUCUUGGAUUAUGGUUAGUAUUGUAAGUUGUUGUUGAUUGAUUGUGUUGGCUUUCUGUUAAGUUGUAAUUAAUAUCUAAGGGUUAUGUUGCAGAUGAUGGUUCAGCUAAACUAGUGGUAAGGGUUGGGUUAGGUAGUGGAAAGCAAAAACCAUGGAUUGGAGAAGAUUUUAUUGAACCAAUUGCUUUUCCUAUUUGGUUGAAUUAUGGUUUUUGUGGUUGAGUGAAUAUGGUGCGAAUUGUUGGUAAUGAUGGAUUAAGGUUGAUAAGAAAAUUGAGAGUAUUGGGUUAAAAAUGGCAAUGGUGAUUAUUUCUAGGUUUAGGGUGGUAGAAGGUAUGUUUUGGUUGAUGCUUUCUGUGCAAUUUCUCAUUGGUUGUAAUUGUGCUUUUUUGUGUAAUUUUCCAUUACUUGCUAUGUAAAUUCUCUAUUUCAUCUCUAAUUUCUCUGUAAUUAUCUUGCUUAAAUAAGUAACAAAAUUCAAGAUAAAAAAUCAUAUUUGGUUGAAGGGAUUUUGAUGCAUUAUCUUCUUUAAUUUCAACCUUAAUCCAAACAACUUUAUCCUUUAGCUUAAAUCCAAUAUCACAGUUUAUCAUUUUGUUUAUCCCUAAAAUAAAGAUAAUUACAAGAGUGAAUGGGCUUGGUCUAGUUGAAAGUACAGACUUAGCCCAAAACUCAAAUGGUAAAUCCAACACCAUACAGGUUAAGUUUUAAAGCUUAAUUCAAACUAAUUCUAAAUAACCUCGAAUAAAAUAGAGUGUUUACAGCUGCCUCUUUUACGUAUUUUUUGUGAAACAAGAAUUGUGCAAAGAUAUAGAUAUUUAUUACAUUGGGGUGUAGCUUAACAACAAUUACAAAUUCUUAAAACUUUAAAGAUUCACAAUCUAAAGUAUUCAAGAACUUCGAAUUUGACAAUUUGGAAUGCAAGUUGAAACUCAAAUAUUCAUAAAUUGAGUUUAAAUAAUCAAAAUUUUGAAAUUCAAAGGUUCAUAAUUUAAAUAUUCGCAUGGUUUAAAAAUUCACAAAUAUUGAAAAUUCGCAAGAAAUUUUAGAUUCUUCAAACUCACAAGAUUUUCAAAUUCGUAAGGCACUCAAAUUUGCAAGAAUUCCAAUUCAUAAGUAUUGAAGAUUCACAAGUAUUAAAGAUUCAUAAGAAAUUUUAGAUUCUUUAAAUUCACAAUAAUUUUCAGACUUGCAAGACGCUCAGAUUCAUAUUCAAGAGAUUCACAUCCAAAGUUCAACUUAGGGAUUCACAUCAAAAUUUCAAGGCUCACACCAACAUUUAAAGAUUCACAUUCAAACAUUCUAGAAGUUCACACCAAAGGUUAAGAUUUUUAUUAAAAAAAACUUCAAGGAUUCACUUUUAAGAUUUCAAAGAUUCGUAUUAAAAAAUUUUUAGAGAUUCAUACCCAAAGGUUAAAGAUUUUCAUUAAAAAACUUCAAGGAUUCACUUCCAAAAUUCACAUUAAAAAUUUUAGAGAUUCAAAUUCAAAAAUUUUAGAGAUUCACACUCAAAGGUUAAAGAUUUUCAUUUGAAAAACUUUAGGGAUUUACUUCUAAGGUUUUAAAUAUUCUCAUUUAAAAUUCAAAGAUUCUUAUUUGAAAAUCAUACUUAACAUUAAAAAUGCUCAUUUGAAAUGCUCCACAACUUUAAAAUUCUAAAUGUUUUCCUUAUAAAAUAUCUUCCUUAUUUGAGAAUUCAAAAUCUUAUCUUAAAAGGCUUUCUUCAAAAAGUUUAAAAUUUCUUCUUAUGAAAAUUUUCAAUCUCAUCAUAAAAGUCAAAAUUUUAUAUAUAAUGAAUGCCAUGCAAAUGUUUUCUAAAUGAUAUAAAUGCAACAAUUCAAAUUCUCACUAAAUAAUGCAAAAAUACAUGUCCUAAAGAAUAAUGCAAAUGCUAUACUCUAAAUAAUGAUUCAAAUGUUCACUGCAUGAUACAAAUGCUUGUCCAAAUCAUGAUGCAAUUAUCAAAACAAAGAUAUAAAUAUUCACCAAAUUAUGUACAUGUAUUGUGCAAUCAACAAUUUAAACCCACUAUAUGUAAUACAGAUGUCACUAAAAUCUAGGCCAUGAAAUUUUAUUUAUGGUAAUAAAGUUUUCAAGACUAUAGCAUUUCAUACUUUUUCCUUUUUAGCUUCUAAGCACUAACACUUUCUGAACAAAUUUCAUUCACUGAUCCAUAUUAUUUCCAUUAUCUGGUCACAAUGCAUAGGUUAUGUUGACCAAUCCAUCACCAUAUUCAUCACUUAUUGACCCCAUUUGCUUUUUCAAAUCGUUUUCUCAAGUUUCUUUCAUUUUUUUUCAUUUUCUUUUUGCCCCUGUCACCCUGGAUUUCUUUUUAAAGGAAUGCAUGAAUCUUUUAUAGACAUUAUCAUUCAUUCAUUCAUUAUCAUUUCAAUUCAUAACAAAUAUAAUGCAAUCAUAUAUUUUUUUAAUUUAUUCUAGGGAUGCAAAAUUGAGAGAAGACAAGGUGAAUUAAAAGAAAAGGUAACAAAUACAAGAAUGAGUCUAGUACAAAAACACAUAGGCAAAUAAACAAAUUCAAAGCAUGUCACUAGGAUAAGUAUUUGAAUGGUAAAGCAAUAUCCAACAAUAAAUAUUUAGACAUUUUUAACAUUAAUCUAGAAUUUUUUUUUCAAAAACUCAUUCCAUUGACUUUUAAAAUCAUUUUCAGCUCAUUAAACUUUGCCUUUAGUUUGGAGAAUCUUCAUAUGACAUUAGUCUUCCACAUAUUUGUUAGCUCAGAUGUUUUUCUACCCAAAUCUCUCCUUCGAGUUUUCAAGUUGAGUAUUCUUUUUCUCUUUUUUUAUUUCUUUUUAUUUUUUUUCAUUUCAUCCAUUAUUAAUAUCUCCCACACAUCAAUUUAUAAAACAUGAGAAUAUAUCAUGAUUCCAUAAUUUCAUUACAAGUACGCUUCAGCUCAAUAUAUGAUCAUUCAAUUCAAGUAUUUAUAUUUGAUUAAAAUAGACUUUUAAAGAUUGUAAUGUAGGUUAUGGUAAGAGAUCAUGAAAAAAAUGGAUAAAAUAGGCUUAAAGCAUAUACUUAAAUGGUUCAAACCAAAAGAUCAUUUCUCAUCAUAUAAUGCAACUUGGCAUUUUGCCUCAUUCCACAUCAUUUUCACAUUUUUCUUUUUCAUUCAUCUUAUUUUUUUAUAAAAGAAUUCUAAUUAUUUUGCUCCAAGUCAUUUGUGGCAUUUUUUUUUUGUAAAAAAGGUUCUGUUUUUUUUUUUUCCUCCCUAUCUUUGAUACCUUUUAUAAUCUUUUGCAUUUUUCUUUUUUUUUUCAAAUAGGUUUCUUCCCAAAUUUUACCCUCUAGUGUGGAAGGUGAUCUUUGACUGGGGUUCUUUAAAAAUAAAAAUUAUAAUAGGCACAAAAAGGGUAGCAAUAGAUAAUUUCAUUUUUAUGAAUGUAAAAGAAAUAUUGUCAUUUUUCAUCUCGAAUGUGAAUACUUUCUUUAAAGAUCAUUUAUUGAACAAAAAAAAACUCAUAGAUCGUUAUAAAGAACUGCAUGCUUUCAAGAUAUGUCUAUUUCAUAUCUACUAACUAAUUUUAACUCUUUUCUGUUCUUCAUAGAUCGAGUUUAUCAAUGUAAAAAAAUUUUCAAAAUUAAAUUUCAAAAUUAUUGUUAUAAUUGUCUAAACAUUUAUCACUUGGAAUUUGAUAAUGGGCAUAAAAAAAUACAAAAAAUAACAAAGAAUAGAAUAGUGGUUUGGAUGAAAGGAAAAAUGUAAUGAAAUGCAUCAUACUUACCCUUUUAUUAAAAUUAUAAAAAGUAAAAUCUUAGUGCAUAAAAAAAAUCUUAACAUUACUCUAAAAGAAAUCCAAAAAUGAUAAACAACUUUUAACCAACCUUUUUGUAUCCUUCCCUAAAACUAUAUCUUUAAGUGAUUAGGCCAAGGAUUUUUAUUGAUAUUCAGCCUUCCUAAUUCCUCGAAACUCACCAAGCUUACUUAAAUCAAAAUUUGUAUCUUGUGUUUAAAAAUAGGACAAGUUUCUAUAAAGUAAUCCAUAUUCCUAUUAUGGUAAUUAUAUGUAGCAUUAACAUCAUAACAUUUGGGAUAAGGCUUUAAUGGUUCUAACUAGACUUUAGGUACCAGGUUAUUCUUGAUCAAUUCUAGGAAUAACUCAGUAUAAGUCAGAGGAAUAAGAUCAAUACAAGCUCUUUUUUGGUUAUUUUAAAAUCUCUUUAAAUCAUUUGCCUUGAAGCUAAUGUGGUGAUAUGAGUAGGCUUAUAUGCAAGUAUUUGAAAGGUUGAUUGUUAAGUUAGUGGAUAAACUAGUUAUGAAAUAGGUUGGUAAGAGGCUUACGCAACACUAUUAACUAUAGGGUAGUAAGCAAGAUGAACAUUUGAUGGAUAAGGAGUAUAGCUUAUGAAUUAUUGCCCCUUAAAAUUCACAACUUAAAUAGGUGGUGGAUAGAGAGCAUAGUUUAUGAAUUAUUGCCUCUUAAAAUUCACAACUUAGACUUCAAUUUUUUUCCUUUUAGGCAACCCUCAUUUCUUGGUGGUUUCUUCUUCCUAAAGUUUGUUACUCUUGAUAACAUUCUCAAUAAUUUCUCUUGAGAUUAUCAUGUCAGCAAAAUUUUUUGUUGCAUUCCCUAUCAUCUUUUUAUAAUAGGGUGCCUUCAAGGCGCUCACAAACAGCAUUGUAAUUUUUUUUUUAUUUAAAGGUGGCUAAACUUGGGUAACUACAUCUCUCUACCUUUUGGUAUAUUCUUUAAAUGACUCAGUCACCUUCUUCUCUAUACUCUGUAAAGAAAAAUGAUAUAAAGCCAAGUAUAUGAUAUGUCAGUACUGGGUAAUAAAUGCCUCUGUUAAUUUUUUUUACCAAGCAAUACGAGCCAUGUCUAGUUAAACGUAACAUUUAACAACAAAGCCAAUAAGGCUAUCCUAGAAUACAUGCAUUAACAAUUUUUUAUCACUAGUAUAGGCAAUUAUUUUUCGACAGUACAUGAUAACAUAAGUUAUAAAAUAUUGUGUACCAUCAUACUACUCAAACUUUGAGACCUUAAAUUUUGACAAGAUUAUUACAUAUGGGACUAAGCAUAAGCUGGUUGCAUCCAUUGAGCCAUAGAAAUCCAGCCCCUCGACUGUUUAUAAUCUCUUCUCCAACAAGUUCAUCUUAUGUUCAACUUAUGAGCCUUUUAAAGCCCAACUACCUUUAGCUUCAGCUUCUUUUUCUUUUUUGGAUCAUCUAAGUCAAGAACUUGGAUUGAUUCUACUCCUUUUUCUACAAAGGCAGGAUUGACAUAACUUUGAAAAUGCAACCUAAAUUAAUGUGAAAGCCAUUCUAGGGUAGCUAUAUCUUACCGAAAAUGAAAAUUGAUGUUGAGGAAUUUCUUGAGUGGAUAGGCUUAAGAUGGACCAUACCUAAGAAGGUUUAAAGGCUUAACAAUAUCCUGUGAUGAUGGAUAGUUUUUAGGGUUGGCAUCUUCUUUCACAGCUUUUCCCUUAUUUAAUUUAUUUAGGGUAUUAAAAAUUUUUUUCAACUCUCUUCUAAGCUUUUCUUGGACCUUUUCUAUCUUUUCAAAAUGAUAGGUAUUUUUUUACUCUAUUUAUCUAGCUUGGGCUCUAAUGUUGUAUUGAUAGUGAGUGGGUUAAACUGGAUUUUUAGACGUUAGAGCUAUCUUUGAACAUUAUAUACCACAAUUAGCAUGCUCAUAUUAUUAAAUGCUUAAAAAUUUUCAAAACCUAACUUGUUUAAGGAUCCUAUAUGCAUGAAUGAAUGAAUACAUUGAAUGUUUGGCACAACAAAUUAUGAUGAAUAAACACAUGAAUGUAUAUACAAUAAUGUAUAAAUGGAUAAAUAAAUGCAUGUGUUAAUGUAUUUUUAUAUUAUAAUGCAUAGAUGAAUGCAUAUGUUAAUGAUGUUCUAUCAAAAUAUGACAUACAACAACUUAACAAUAAAUAAUAGAUCAACUAAAAUUUAAUAUAAAUUUGGUACAAAUGAAAUUCAAAAAAUCCAAUUAUAUGUCCUAAGUAGGGUUACAUUCUAAUAAUUUGGAGACAUGGCUCUAACCUAAAGUUAACUUUUUAUGUUUUACUACAUACGGUUUGGGUUAACUCUAAAGGUUUUCAAAUUAUUUCACACAUCAUUGUCCAUCACAGACUAGUACGACACUCAAAUUCUCACCCAUUAUAAGUUAAAAAUAAAAAAAAGUUCAAUUUGAGUGAGAGCGUUUCUCUAACCCAAGCGGAGGCAUGAAAUCUCACAAGAGCAUAAGUAUUUUAUUCUCUCAUAAGGGACAAAGCUCAAGUGUAUAGCUCAUGUUAUAUAGAUAUAAGUGAAUGACAGAAUAUGGUAUAAUUCGAAACAAAAAAAAUUCAAAAAAAAUUAAUAAUUUUAACUUAGGCUUUGGAUAACACAAGUUUACUAGCCUAACUCUCGACAUAUCCAGUGGAGUUGCUAAAUUGUUAUAACGUAUAGAUCCGUAAAUCUAUCAUUAGACUUAACUUUAAGGAGUCGUCACCAUUUUUUUAUUUAUUUAUGUGCGAUUAGCCAUUUAACUGAAUUUGUUUCAUUUUAAAAAGAAGUCCAAAAUUUGACUCAAGUAGCUUUAAAAAGUAUAUUCUAGUCUACGAAAUUAAAUCUAGUUUUGAGAGUAUGGUUACACGUAGGAAAGGUUCUAGCACUUCUAUAACACCUAUCUUAAAAAUAGCACCAGUUUAAUCUUAUAUUAUCCAAAGCCUUAAAAAUCUUACCAAAUAAUUUGUUGUUGAAAAUUGUCUUAAAAUUACUCCAAUAUGUUGGUAAUAAUUUUAUGAUAUUUUUUCACCUCAAGAGUAUUCAAGAAAACUAUUUGUCAUGCUUUGAAGAGGCUUUAUCAUCGGGUUUAUUUAAUUUUCUAAAAACCUUUAUUUGUUAUAAGUAGUGUUUUUGUGAGAAUCUUAAUAUUGAAAUUUUUUUUAAAAUUCUCCAAUACAUUGGUAAAAUUUAAAAAGAAUAUCUCACUUAGGAAUUUAUAUAAAAAAUAUUUUUUUUUGCAACAGUUUUAGUAAUUUAAUAAUCAGAGAUUCAAAAUUGAUUUUCAUAAAAACACUUUAUUUUAAAAAACAUCUUUCAAUAUGUUAGUAAGACUUUCUAUCAAAAAUUAUUCUCCAAUAUAUUGGUAGGAUUUUAUAAAAACUAUUUAUUUUUUUUAAUUUAACUUUAUUUGAAAAAAAAUUAUAAGAUUUUUCAAUAUAUUGGUAAAACCUUAUUUUGAAAAUAAGAUUACAAGCCCUUUAAUAUGUUGGUAAAGCUUUUUUUUUUAAAUUAUUUUUUAAAUAUCUUUAAUCAAAACAUGUAGAUAAUAAGCAAUGAAAUAUAUAAAUAUAUAUGAUAAAAAAAAAGUUAUACCAAUAAUUAGGUUAUAUAAAAAAAAAUCAAAACAUGUAGAUACCAAUUUGAAGUCCAAAAGAAAAUUAACUUUGAAAGGCUGGCUUAAAUUAAACCUUGACCUAAGCUUAAAAUGAUAGGCUAAGUGAAUUGGGCUUGAUAUUCUACAAUCUAGAGUGUGGGCUAUUAUAGACAGUGCCAAAUUAGGUUAGAUAGCGAGUUUCAAACUGGGUCAUUUGACCCAACUAAUUUUUUUUUCAAAAUGUCGUAGUUUUGGACUUUUAUAAAUCCUCACAUUUUUUCUUCAUUUUUUCCUUCUUUUUUCUUUCUUUAUAAACCAAUUUCUCUGUCUCUCUCUCUAUGAAAGAAUGAAAGGUGGCCGGUCACUCAAGCUAACCUAGAAACUAAUGAACAUCCAUCGUUGUUGCCGCUAUAGGUCAUCAUCGACCACCUCACUCUACCGUUGGCCAACCAUCGAUUUAGCACAAAAUUCACCCAGAAGCUUAUUUUGGCCUCUUUAUCUUGGAUUUAGGGUUAGUUUCUCACAAAUCACCUUCCAAUAGUGUAAUUCAAUCACCUUUUUUCCCCAUCUGAUCUUGUCAAUCUUUGAGUAUGUUGUUCCACUUACUUUGUUCUACACUUCUAUCAUUUUUUAUGUCCUAAAAGUCCUUCCCACCAUGGGUUGUCACCAGCACUACCACUACCAAGAUAAAAAUUUGUGAAAACUCUUAUUAAUUCAUAUUUACUAAUAUCUAAUGCUGUGUUUAUGGAUUUGAUGACAUUUUUACUUGCCUUUUUUUAUGGCUUAUUGACAGUGGAUUUAUAUUGGGUUUAUUCUUUUUAUGGCGAGUGAGCUUGCCAAUGAUAGAAGGGUUAUUUUGGCUUUUACUUUAAUGGUUUGCUCUUCUAGAUUAUGGUUAGUGUUGUGGGUUAUUGUUGAUUGAUUAUGCUACCUUUCUAUUAGGUUGUAUUUGAUAUAUGAAGAUUGCAUUGCAAAUGAUGGUUCGUUUAAACUAGUGGUGAGGGUUGGUUUAGGUAGUAGAAGGUAGAAAGCAAUAAGUUGAGGGAGAUUUUCUUAAGUUGAUUACUUUUCCUAUUUGGUUGAAUUGUGGCCUUUGUGGUUGAGUGAAUGUGGUGCGAAUUAUUGGUAAUGAUGAAUUAAGGUUGAUAAGGAAGUUGAGAAUAUUGGAUCAAAAGUGACAAUGGUGGGUUUAAGGUGAUAAAAGGUGUUUUUUGGUUGAUGCCUUUUGCGUAAUUUCUCACUAGUUGUGAUUGUGCUUUUCUAUGUAAUUUCUCACUAGUUGCUAUGUAAUUGCUCUGUUUUCUAUCUAAUUUAUGUGUAAUUUUCUUGCUUAAAUAAGAAAUGAAAUUCAAGAUCAAAAAUCAUAUUCAGUUAAAGGGAUUUUGAUGCAUUAUCUUCUUUAAAUUCAACCUUAAUCCCAACAACUUUAUCUUUUAGCUUAAAUCCAAUAUCAUAAUUUAUCAUUUUGUUUAUCCCCUACAAAUAAAGAUAAUUACAAGAGUGAAUGGACUUGGUAUGAUUGAAAGUCCAAACUAAGCCCAAAACUCAAAUGGUAAACCUAACACCAUACAGGCUAAGCUUUAAAGCUCAAUUCAAACUAAUCUUAAAUGACCUCGGAUAAAAUGAGAUGUUUAUAAUUGGCUAAUGGGUUAUAGUAGUUAGUAUAGCCAUGAUCAUACAGCCAUGCUAAUGUUUUAUAAUAAUUAUCGUAAGGUCCCGGCUAACGGAUUAUAAUGUUAGCAAUUAUUAUAAAGAUAAAAUUGUCAAUACAACCAAUGUCAUAGGUUAGCAGUGAUCGUAACUAGUGAUAAACUAAUGAUAAUGAUAAUUUAUGAUAAUGAUUUUUAAAUAUGAUCCAUGAUUUGAUUUUAUUACGAUAUUUGAAUGACAGCAUAUUUUGUAAUGAUUUAUGAAUUGACAUGUUAUAAUAUUGAUUUAUGAUCUACAAAAUGUUUGACAUAAUGAUGAUUUUUGAAAUGUUUUGACAGUAUGAUUUGACAAAUAUUUUGAAUGAUUUAUAUGUAUGUAUGAAAACAAUGCUUGAUCUGAUAAAGUGUGUGAGCCUAUACUUACUAAGACGUGAUUUGCUCAUUCCUCUUUUUCUUUCUCUUUCUAGAUGAAUAAGUGAUAAGUUUCCUUAAUUUUAUGAAAAGCUAAAAAAUCAAAAUGAAAAAGAUUAUUUAGUCGUUGUAGAUAAAGUUAGCCAAUUAGAUCUUAUGAAAUAGUUUUGUAUUUUUAUUAGUUUGUAUUUGGAUAUAUGAAGAUUUAUUAUCAGUUUAUUGAAGAAUUUUAGAAUGAUUAAAAGUAAAAGCUUCAUAUUACUUUAGAAUUUUAUUUCAAGGUAAUAUGAUCGUAUUACAUCUCGGUUCGAGGGCAUAGCAAUAGGUUAUCCAUGUAAAAUAAUUUUAAAAUAUUUAACAUAAUUCACUCGAUACAUUUUUAAUUUUAAUUAAAAAUUGUUGAUUUAUUAUAUUUAAAAAUUUACUUUUAAAGCACUAUAUAAUUCUAUAUUACUAUAUCUUAACAAUUUUAGUUUUAACAAUUUUAAUGCUAAUCAAUUGUCACACCUUCAUCCAAAAAUUUAUAAAAGAAUCUCUAAUGAAAAAAAUUUGUAUUAGAGAUUGAUUUUGAGAUGACGAAAUUUUAGUUUCUGGGAAUCAAAAACAUGAUUGACUAUUGUUUAGACAUUACUUGAAUUCAAUAAACUACAAUUUGAAUUUUCUCUAAAUUUGAUGAUAAUUACAUAAAUAUAUCAAAUGUAUAAUUAAUUUAUUUAUUAUAUUGAAAUAUACAAAAUUUAAAUAAAAAACUAAUUAUAUAAAGUUUGAAUUAUACAUACACUUAAAAACUUAUAUUAUCAAAAUAAAAAAAAUUAUAUAUAUAUAUAGAUUUAUUGAUAUAUGAAUAUACUCACAUGCAUCGCCCGGGUUUAAAAUUAGUAUAUAUUAAUGUACAUUGAACAAACUUUUAUGUUAACAUGCAUUUUAUUUAUUUUAAUUAUUUGUAUAAUAUAUAAUUAGUUAUUGAUUUAUAAUUAUUAGUUUUAUAUUAACAUUAAAAAUAACUAGAAUUAGUCAUCAUUAUGUUGAGGUAGAUUAAUUAUUUUAAUAUAAAAAUAAUAAAAAUUAAGUAAAAAAAUAUUAUAAAAAUUAAAAUAAUAUAUAUAGUAUUACGUAUAUUAUGAUUACGAUUUUUUAUUAUUUUUUCUGGUUAUAUUAUAAGUGUUGUAUUUUUUAUUACUUAGUUUAAGAGUUUUUUUUUUUUUUAUGAAAGAUAUCGUAAUUUAAAAAUAAAAAAAUGUAAAGAUUUAAAAUUUAAAUUUAAUGAAUAUAAGCACGGAACAAUUGAAUUAAAUUUGAAGUUUUUUUUUUUUUAUUUGUAUAAAGCGUGUAAUAAAGUUAAUAUAAUGUACUCAAACACUUUUGCCCCUGUUCCUUGAUCAUUUAUGCUUUUAUACAUCCAACGAAAAAGUAACACUGGCUCGUAAGACAAUUAUUUUGAUCUAAUAUUCAUCUUGGCUGAAAUUACCUCAAAUAUCAUAGAAGCCUCUUUCUGAGUUCGAUCUCCCCUGAUGAUGUAUACUUGAGAUAUAUUUAGUUUUAAAUCUUUAAAUUAUAUUUGAUACAUAAGAUUAUGAUAAAAUAAAAUAAAAUGAUAUUAUAAAUAUGAUUAAAUUAAAUAAUAUGAUCUUAUUUUAUAUUUGAUAUAUGUAAAGAUUAUGAUAAAAUAAUUUAUUUAUUAUCAAAAUUAUCUUUUCUUAAAGUUUAUAUUAUUUAAAUUAUUGAUAUAAUUUCUAAAAAUUUAAUUAGACAUAUAAGUUUAAUCUUAUAAAUUAAAAAUAAUCAUCUUCACUUAAGGAAGAUUGAAUAAUCUUAUAUCAAGAGGAUAUUAAUCAUCUUUAUAAUCCCUAUCUCUCUUUUAAAUACAAAUCAAACAAGAUAUAAGAUAAUUAUCUAUCAUAUCAAUAAUUUUACAUAUCAAACAUGACCUUAAUGAUCAAAUCCACGUAUGGAAUUACUUUGCCAAAGGUGAGGCACUGGCAGGCAGUAUACGUUGAACAUACAUCAAAUCUUAUUUGUAUAAAGCACAAAUAACAGACCAAAAAAGAUCAAUACGUACCCGAUUAAUAACUCGAUCUUGAAUGCUAUCAACAAUCUUCGAGGUAUCAUGUCCUCCUCUUGAUGUUCCAAGGUUGGUACCACCACGUUUAUGGAUGUCAUUUACAACUUUUGGUGCCAAAGGAAUUGUGUUUCGAGCAUAAAAAACUUUGUAUGCUAUCUACAAGAAAAAAUUGGACCCAACUAUUAAAUCAACUACACCAGUUAAUCAUCUGAAAUAAAUGAAUAAAGGAUGCUCUGCAUACACUUCAAUCCCACCAACUCUAGUGACGCCAUACAUGUGGUAUAAUCCACAAAUAAUUUCCCUAAUCACGAUAUUUAGACCAGGGCAUAGACCACCACAUGUUACAUACAUGCAUCAACUUCAUCAGAUUCAAAGUACACGUGAAACCAUAUAACAAAUGAACAUCACUGUUUCUGAAUUUGAAUAAGAAUAGGAAACCCCAAAACUAUUAAAUUUAAGAAAGAAAAAAAAAAAAAACUCCAUUUUCAAACCUUCUGACGAGGCCCCGCUCACCUGAAAUGGGUUCCUCUUUGACUAUCUUUUUGAACGACAAUCUGUGCGUAGAAAACAGAAAAGCAUAUUCAGACGCAAUGGUAAAAAUUGCUGUGACGCAAUGGUAAAAAUUGCUGUGAUGCAAUGAGUUCAAUUUGUAGACUAAGACAAGUAUGGAAUCCUCCAUAAAAAUAGGUUCAUUUCCCUUGUUUUUAUGAAAGUGAUAUAUUUUGAUGCAGAAAAGUAAAGAGAACAAAAUUUUUUUACCUUCUGGGCAACUGUUUCAUCAACAUUAACGAAUUUCUACCUGGUGAAACAGAAAAAUUAAUUUCAUGUAAAAAACAAAAAAAUCAUUUAAAAGAAAAUGCCUCGGCAAUCAGAAUAUUCCAUGAAACCAAAAAAAAACCAUACUUCACAACUGAAUAUGCAGUAUUGUCUUGCAACGGAUUCGGAUAAGUCUGCCCCAGUUUUUUUAAAAAAUGAGAAACAGAGCAUGAAUUUUGGGUAAAUAAAAUUUUUUUAAAAAAAUUUUUGAUUAGCUGCUUUCAAACAGCCUUAAAGAUUAUAUAUUAGUAAUAAAUGGAACCAUAAGCUGACCAGUUUAUGCUUGAAUUUUCUCUAUAAAUUUACUUUACGUUUACUGUUUUCUUUGAACUUUCAUAUAGAAACCGAACAAGUAAGAGAGAGAAAGUUCUUUUAUAUUUACAGGGAGGUUAUGGAUAUAAUCAGACGAGUGAGGAACAUCUUCUAGAAGGUAACCACAGUCGCCGAUGACGAUUUGGGCUUGGUGGUGGUGGUUCUUGAAUUGCCCAUUACGUCGGUGGUGUUGGUGUUGCCACCCCUGGGACUUCUGAAGCAAGAAGGCAAGGUGGAGUCAUAGCAUCGGUGAUCGGCGGUUGUAGGAUAAGUGUUGUUGGGGUCAAAGCACUGGAACUUGGGAGUAAUGAAUGAAGCAGAGCUGGAAAUGGAAUCCUUGACAGAGGAAGAGAGAGGUAGGGGAAUCCAGUGUGCGAGAAGUGGCGCGAAGAAUGUGGAGGUAUCUGUAGCUGUCGAUUAGAGGACACAUUGCGGAUUGCUCGGUAAUAUAAAAUAGAGAAAGAUUGCCGUGAAGUAUCACAGUAAAGCUCAUAAAUUUUUUUAUUAAAAAUGAGUAAAUAAAAAUUUAAAGUAAAAAUUAAAAUUAAAAAAUUUUACUAUAUAAGUCAAGCAUGUAAAAUUUUAAAAAAAUUAAUAUAUUUUAAUAUAUUUAUUAAAUAAAUAUUUUUAAUAAAAAUAUUAAUAAAUUUUUUAACGUUGAACAAAUAUAUUAAUUUAAAUUAUAAAUAAUUUUUUUAAUAAUUUUUUUUACAUAUUAUUAAUUUUCAUAUUAAAUAUUAUUAAAAUUUUUUAUUAAAUUAUUUAUUUAUUUAUAAUAAAAAAUUUCACAAAUUUCAUUUAUAAAAUUUCAUAUAAGUUUUAUCUUAUAAAAUAAAUGAAAAUAAUACUACGACUAAAUAAUUAAUUAAAUAUUAGCAAUAAAUUUUAUUUUGUUUUAUUUUUCUGUUAAAUACAUAAGUUUCUAAUUUCUUUUAACUAAUACUUGGAGAUUUUCCUGCAAGUUGAAAAGGAGGCAUGAAGAAGGUGUAAGAUAGAAAGGAGGGUUUGGCAAACCUAUGAACAUGUUUUUUUUUCCUUUUUUUGGUAUUUGAUAAAUUAUUAAUAUAAUUUUUUUAAUUUUAUAAGCAAAAUUAAAAGAUUGAUAUAUAUUUUAUUUUUAUAAAUAUAUCUUAAAAGAUAUAUAUUAUUUUAUUAAUUUUGUUUAAAAAAUUUAAAAAAUUUACUAACAAUGUAUAAAAUAAUUUUUUUUAAUUAUAUAAGAUUUCAGACUAAACCUUAAUCUUCCAAUAUCAGUAUAUAGAUAAGUAUUUAAAAACAUUUUUCAUUAAUUGAUUAUUGACUAGAGUUGAGUAGAAUUUGCUCUCUAACAUAAGAAAAAAAAGUAUUAAUUAUUAAUGUUUUCUGAUUCAACAUUUAAGACAAAAGCGUUAGGCGUGUUAAAUCGACAACAUCAUUCAUUCAUAAUAAGAAAUUAAUACUAGUAAAGUACAUUUAAUUAGGAAGCCCCCAUGGCAUGAUUUCAUGAGUGUAUCCUAACGUAACCAUUCAUUCUGGAGAAAAUUAAGAACCAUCCUCCACACCGUUUGGCUUUCUUAUAAAAAAAUUGCUGAUAGUCAGACCAUCAUUUAAUUCAUUAAGGUGGCUAUGGAAAUAAUAUUUUAUUAUAAUCAGGUUCGUGUUUUUGUUGUAGGAUUUUAUUUUUUAAAAUUUAUUUUAAAUAUAAGAGAAAAUUUUUGAUAUCAAAUUUUAAUGAUAAUAUAUAAAUAAAUGUAAGUGUAUUUAUUUUUUAAUAUAAUUAUAAUUUAAUUACAAAUAAAUACAUUUUUUUAUUAAAUUAGUAUAUUAAAUAAUAUAUUUAUUAAUAUAAUACAUAUUUAAAUAUAAAUUUAAUAAAUAACAAAAUACAUUCUUUUAUAUAUUCAAAUAAGAGUAAGGAUAUAAUAUUUAUAGUUUAGAAUGUGUUACAUCUCACAUUGAAUAAAAAAAUUAUUUAUAUAUAAUUUAAAAGAGAUUAUUUAUGUUAUUUAAAUAAUUAAUCUAAGUGUUGAAGUGAGUCAAAUCAUUUAGGCUUAUUAGAGUUUUUUUAAUGAGUCAAAUAAUUUUAAAAAUCAAAUAUAGGCACUUGGUAACUUUAGCUUAUUUAGUAAAUAGUUAUUUUUUAUUUUUUUAUUUUGAAAUAUUAUUAAAAUAUUAUUUGUAUUCUAAAUAAACAUAUUUGAAUAAAAAAAACAACAUAAUAGUCCAAAAUAUGAUUGUUUAAAUAAAAUUUAUUUAAACAAAAAAACAUGACCAUAUAAAAUAUCAUGACUUUUUGAAUUAGUUUGUUUUGUGACUGUUCAUUUUUUAUAAAUAAAUCUCUUUACCUGAUCAAUUUUGUUACUUUUAAUUUGAAAAUUUUUUUAAAAUUUUAUUAUAUCUUAUAAAUAUAACUAUCUUUAAGAUAAUGACAUUCACUCCUCAAAAUCAUAUUCCUUUUUUCUUAUUAUUUCUAUUUUCUUAAAUUUUCUAACAUGUAGCACCUUAAACUCCAUCUUGACUUCACCUAAAUUGUUCAAAAAGACAAAACUUAACUUAAUCUCUAUUUUUAAAAAAAUAUAUCAAUUUGAUUGUAGUAAAUAAAAACUUGUAGAAUAUAGAUUAUUUUGUUAUCCCGACAUCUAUUAAUUUUUUUUUAUAAAAUUUAUCUAAUAAAAAAAUUUUAAAAUAAAGAAAAUGAUUUAAACAAAUCUAAAUGGAGUGAGACAUAAAUUUAUUAAAUUAAAAUAUUAAAUUAUUUUUUUAAUAAAAUACAUAACAAAUAUACAAUUAAAUAAAUAAUAAAAAAUAUAUUUUAUAUAUACUAAGAACAAGGCAUAAAAUCAAAAACCUUACUCUUAUCCAAUCUUGUUUAAAAAAAAAAAUCAAUCCAAUUAUUUUAAAUUAAAAGAAAAUGCAUCCAUUAAUUGGAGUUAACUAAGCCCAUCAUAUACAUGUUAUUUAUUAUCUUUAUUUCAAUUAACAAAGGAAACCCAAAAAAUCAAAAGUUUUAAAAGAUAAAAGAAAAUAAAAAAAAAAGAAGAUAUUACGUAAAUACUUGAGAUAAGAGGAAACACUUUAAAUUUGUUACCGAUCCAACCUUAUUAUCCAAAAAAAAAUCUCAAACACAAUCUUGAUUUAAACAAAACACAGUUAUAUGAUGGAUCAGUACGAAUCAAAACUAAUAGAAUACAAAUUAUUUUAUCCUCUUUACCUUCAUGAUUUUUUUAUAAAAUUUAUUUAAUAAAAAAUAAAAUUAACAAAAAACCAAAUAAAAAGUUAAAAUAAUCAAAUAAAAAUAAGAUUUAAUUAAAAAAAAAUAGAUCUCCUUCCUCCAUUCUCUAUAAAAUUAAUUGUAUAGAUAGAUUCUAAUAAUUAAGUUCAAAUAUAAAAAUAUAAUAUUUUUUAGAAAAAGAAAAGAGAAGAAAAGUGACACUGGUUUUUUUGUACUUGAGUUGUUGAUGUUCUUGGACAACCCAGAAAGGCAAAAGCCCAACAGUUUCGGUUCACUAAAAAAGGCCAAAGCCCCGAUAAGGAAAAGCUUUAAUCCAAACCAAAAUUUGUGUUUUGGGUCUUGGCAAUGAGGAAUGCUGGGAACACUUGUUUGAACCACAGCCUUUUGACACGCGAGCAUAGAAGAAACCACGUCACCUAGUUUUUUAAGCUAAAAACUUGUGACCGGAUGUUGGCUUUAGUGCUUUACUCCUCAAAGUUUUGUAUAAAGAUUAAAAUGCCCUUAUUAUGUUAUGUUGGCCUCAAUCUUUUUUUUUUUUAACAAAAACUUUUAUCUUAUCAUAAUUAGUUUUAUUUUAAAAUUUUUUUUAUAAAAAUAGCAACUCAAUCAUUUUUUAGAAUUUUUUAUUACACAAAAAACUAAAUAUAAUAUUAUUUAUAUUUUCUCAUUCAAGAUAUUUUUUAAUCACUAAUUUUUUUUUUAAUCAAACAUUCAACAAUCUAUAAAUUUAAGAUAAUAACUCAAACAAAACCAUGAAAGUGAAACUUAAAAAAAAAACUAAAGAACACCUACAAACUAUCAUAAAAUUUGUACUUAAAAAUUUUAAAAUUAUAAAAUUUAAUUCUCGAUUUUUUUAAUUUAUCAAACAAUACCUCACUUAAAAUGUAAAAAAAAGAUGAAUCAAAUAAUAGAAAAAAAUAUUACUAUAAUAUUAAAGCACACUUAUUUUACAAAAAUAAAAAGAAAAAUAAACAAUCAUUUUACUCUUAAAUUAUAUUCUUCAAAAUGGCUUAUGAUAGAUAAUUUUUUUAAUUAAAUUUUGCAACAGGGAAUUGGAAUAGAAAGCUUAUGGCAUUUAACCAAGAUUUCAACCAAAAUAUAUGCCUAUUAAUUAUUUUUUAUUUAAAAAUUAUAAUAAAAUUUUAUUACUUCUAUUUAAUCAAUCACUCAUAAAAUAUGUUUUCAUUUAAAUUAUAAAAGAAUUUUAAAUUAUUAUAAAAACAUAUCAUUUAUAAUUAUCAAUCAUGCAUAAUCAUAAAUUGGAUUAUCUAUGAUCUAUGGAAAUAAUAUAUGAAAAUAAUUUUACAAUAUGGUAGAAAUUUACAUAAUUUUUUGUAGUAAUUAUAUAAUUGUAAAAUUAUAAUAAAAAUAAUUAUAAAUAAUAUAUUGUCAAGUUUUUUUUUUAGAAAAAAAUUGCAAUCUAAAGAAAUUAGAGAAAAAAAAUUACAAGCUUGGGAAAUUAAAUUUAACUUAUACAAACACGUAUGUCUUAUUAUAUAUAAAUGUAAAAGGGAGAAUGAAUAUUAUUUUUUAAUAAAUUAUAUUUUUAUUAUAUAUAAAUAUAAUAUUUUGUUAAAUUAAUAUUUUAAAUUAAAAUAUUUAAUAAUAAAUUUAUUAAUGUAAUAUAUAAUUAAAUAAAUAAUAAAAUAUAAACAGAGUGAAGCAUUCUAAUUCUUCUAGGACCUCAUCCCAACUAUUUUUCUACGAAGCAUUUUACCCUGUCAAAUCGAAGUUGUUUUAACUUCCUAUGUUCAAAUAAUAAAAGACAAUAAAACAGGAAAACCUUCGAUUAUUGUCACAUGGAAGCAAUCAGUUUUUUUUUUUUUUUUAUCUGGAGUUUGGUGGAUUGGUCCAGCGUAAUAUCCUGACUUGAAAGGUUACAAACGCAUCUUUUGUCCUUUUCGUCUCAAAAUUAAAUAUUUUAUUUUAUUUUUAUAUGAAGCAGGCUACUUAUAAUUGUAAGUUGCCGGUUUUGAAUUUGAAAAGCUAGACGACGUGGCUUAGUCUUGGCUCAAGUAUCGAAACACGAUGGUUGUUUCGACUAUCGCUAGCAUUCCGCCUUGGCAAUUUGGCACUGCGAUGCGACGCUUGGGAGGUUUCCAUUUUUUUUAAUUGUUUUUAUCCAAAGGGGUAAAAAAGGGAGAGCAAAAGGGCUGCUAUGAUCCUACCCUACAACAGGGUCCCACAUAAAGGAUGCUGAGAUGGCAAAGAUCAGUGGAGAGACUAAACCUUACUGAAAAUGUAUGUUAAAGCAGAGAACCCAAACUCUUAAACCCCUCAACAACACGACAGAACGUAACAUCUUAUUCGCUUCUUCUCGUAUAAACAGCCACCACCUGACACUUAAACCUUCCUCUUCUCUUGUCUUCAUUGUUCCUUUCUUACAUUCAAAUAAUAAAACACUUUUACAAACAGUGAGGAGAGCCCCUAAAACCUUAAAAACCACGAAAAUCAGACCAUGUACAGAGCUGCUCUUUCACGUGUCAGGGCUCUCAAGGUCAGUUUUUUUUUUUUAACUCAAAUCCCUUUCAAAAGCCCUAAAAAUUUUCUGUUUGUUUCUCGAGAAAAUGCCUGAAAACAAUAUAAAAGACGACCCAAAAAAAUUAGUUUUUGUCACAUGGGUUAAAGAGCCAUUUCAAUGCCCAUUCAAUGACAUUGUUUUUCUAACUCUUGUCUUCGUCCAGCUUUUAUUUUUUUUUCUAUUGUGCAUUUUAUGCAGUGAACUGACUAUUGCUAUUUGAUGUUUGUAUAUCCAUUUAUGAGGUGAUUUUUUUAGUUAGUUUGUUAAAUUAGUUUUUUUUUUUUCUCCCUGUUUAUACCGCAUUUUAAUGCGUUUAAAUAUAAGGGGCGUUUGGUUUUGUUUGAUACCCGGUGUUUUGUUUGAUUUUCGGGACAUCCCAUAAUUGGAUUCAAUCGUUUGAUAGAGAAAAUCUUGGUUUAUUAAUUCAUGUAUAAUUAUCAUAAUCUUCUUGACAAGCUAUAGGUAACUUUUCAUUUUAAUUUUUUUGGAUUAAAUAUAUUUAAUUUCGGAGUUUACCUAGACAACUGUAAUUACUGUAUAUAAAUAUAAAAGAAAAAUUAAUUAUCCCCCUAUGGAAUAGCUGAACGCCUUAUUUGUAAAUAUAUUUAAAAAAUCAUAAAAUAAGAUGUUUUACUUUGUUCAAAGAAAAUGUCUUAUUUGAAUUUGUAAAGAUUCUGGAAAAUUGUUUAUCAAUUAAGGCGUAUGUAAAAAGGAAACACUUUGUUUGAAUAGGCUUUGUAAAUAUGUUGGAAAAAGCAUCAAAUAAUGCGUUCGUUCGAAAAAACGUCUUAUUUGCUUUUUUAAAGAUUCUAAAAGAUUGUCUGUUAAAUAAGAUGUUUGUAAAAAGGAAACACCUUUUUUGAAUAGGUCAAAUAAGGUGUUUGUUCAAAGGAAUGCUGAAAAAACAUCAAAUAAGGUGUUUCAAUUAUCAAUUAAGGCGUUUCAAGGCAUCUUAAUUGAUAAUCAAUUAAGUCAUUUCUUCCUUAAAACAUCUUAAUUGCCAUAUAUUAAAACUAAAUUAAAAAUAAGGCAAAUUAAAAAAAAAAAAAACUAAAAUUGGGUCCCUGACUUGCUUUUCAAAAGAGUAAAGGAUAUGUGACAAAUUUUCUAUUUAGGUCAAAUUUGGAAAUAAGGCAUCUUUUCCCUCGGAAUCCUAAAAUACCAUAGGGAGAGGUAGGUUUUUGAUUCCGAGACUUUAGAUACUGUUGGAAAUCUGACAUUUUCUCUCAUAAUCGAUUACCUUAAACCAAACAUGAGAAACAAAUACCCACAAAAAAAUUUGUGGAUUCUUCCGAACCAAACGUACUCUAGAUGCUUCAUGACAUUAGUAGUUUUUUUUUUUUCAUUAGUCUUUCUUGGUGUUUUCUUUGGGUUUUGAGAGAAUGGGAAAAUUUAAAAAAAAAAAAAAAGUCAGUUUUCUUUAAUGAACAUUUUAGCCAAAAAAGCCAAACAUUAAAUUUAUGAAGAUUUCUAGAUUCAACAGAGACAAUGGAAGCUAUAUUAUAUCCCUUUCUUUUCUUUGAUUGUAUAUUAUUUAUUUGUUCUCCUUCAACUACAUAAUCGUGCUUGCUUUGUGUACAUUACUAUGUUUGUUGGUUCAUCAAAUAGUUGCCUCAUAAUUUAAACGGUUGGCUUGUUUUUCUUUUCUCCACUUGAUGGAGAUGGUGCUGGGAAAAAUUCAACUGUUGGUGUGUUGGUUUUAUAUCUAGUCACUUACACAGAAAUGCUUUUUGAACAUUUGUGAGUAGGGCCGCACUGUGAAUUUGGCAGCCGUCCAAUAUGCAACUUCAAGUGCUGUAGUUCCUUUGGACACACCAUUAGACAGCGUAUCCCUUCCACCCCCCUUACCUGAUUAUGUUGCACCAAGUGAAACUAAGGUCAAAACUCUAUCUAAUGGUGUGAAAAUAGCCUCAGAGCAAUUACCGGUAUUGUUAAAUUUCUUCUCUUCAUUUAUUGAACUGCUAUUUCCAUUAUCAAGUGUUGCUGCUGCUGCUUUUUGUUAUUUGUUUCAUUGGUUAUGGUGUAGUAAAGUUCUUUGCUUGUUUUGUCAGACUCCUGCUGCUUCCAUUGGCUUAUUCAUUAAUUGUGGUUCCAUUUAUGAGACACCAAUAUCAUCUGGUGCCUCCCACUUGCUGGAGCGAAUGGCAUUCAAGAGCACAAAAAACCGCAGCCACUUGCGUGUUGUUAGGGAAGUUGAGGCAAUUGGAGGUAACACAUCGACCUCGGCCUCUAGGGAGUGCAUGUCUUACACCUUUGAUGCCCUUAAGACCUAUGUUCCUGAAAUGGUAGAAUUGCUUAUUGACUGUGUUAGGAACCCUGCUUUUUUGGAUUGGGAAGUUAAUGAAGAG